AUUUUUAUAAAAUACGAAACAUUUUCAAAUAUAUUCAUACUAUCGUGAUUCAUUAUAAAAAUAUGAUUAAUCAUAUAUAAAUUACUUAAUCCUAAUUUGUAAAAAAGAUAAUUAGUUUUUUUAUCCCUCUUAUAUUAUUUGUGGCGGCAGAAAGAAAAAAUAUGAUUGUUUGAGAUUUUUAGAAGGGCAUUUCUAUAGAAUUCUAACCGUUGAGACUUUUAGCGAAAUAUAUUUAUGAGGACAAAAAUAUCAUUUCACUUAUUCUCUAUUUAAAAAAUACCAGCACUCUAAGAUAGCGUUUGGUUCGGAAACAAGGGGGGAAUAAGCCCUUGUUCCCCCCUUUGUUCCCAAACGAUAUGUUUGGUUUUCGGGAACAGUAGUUUCCGGGUUUCUGGAACAAUCCGAUAUAAGGCUGGAACUGCUGUUCCACCCGUUUUCUAGAACUAGCGUGUUCCUUGAUAAAAACAAGAUUAAUUAAAAUCUAAAUUUAAUUUUAAUGGCAGUAAAUUAUUAAUUAAUCUAAUUAAUAUAUUUAAAUUAUUAUUUAUUACUUUAAUAAUUAAAUAAUUAAUUAAUUUAUUAUUUAUAAUUAAUUAUUAAUAAUUAGAUAAUUAUUAUUAUUAUUUUAUUAUUUAUAUUUAAUUGUUAAUAAUUAGAUAAUUAUUAUUAUUUAAUUUAUUAUUUAUAAUUAAUAAUUAAUAAAUUAAUAAUAUUUAUUAUUAUUUAUUAAUAAUUAUUAUUAUUUAUUGAUAAUUAUUAUUAAUAAUUAUUUAUUAUUAUUAAAUAGAUGAUCGAUAUUAUUAAUUUAUUAUUUAUAAUUAAUUACUAAUAAUUAUUAUUAUUUAUUAUUAUUAAUAAUUAGAUAAUCGAUAUUAAUUUAUUAUUUAUAAUUUUAAUAAUUAGAUAAUUAAUAUUAUUAAUUUAUAAUUAAUUAUUAAUAAUUAAUUUAUUAUUUAUUUUUAAAUAAUAUUUUGAUAUUAAUUAAUUACAUAAUAUAAUUUUAAUUUCAAUUAUAACUCUUAUUCCUUUUGUUCCAAUCUAAUCAUCCAAACACUAUUUAUUUUAUUCCUAGGAACAACUCAAUUUUCAUCCAAACGUAAAAUUAGUCUAGUACCUGUUUAUACCUGAACUUGUAUCUAUCCCUGAAACUAGCAGUUCUUACUUAUACCCGAACCAAACAAUAAUAAACUAGAGGGGCAAAAAUGAAUAUCACCGAAUUUUUAUAGAAAUAAAUAUGAAGAGAUAAAUUUUAUAAGAAUAUAUAUUUUUUAUUCGAUAUGUUUACAGAAAACUGUGUGAAAUUAACUCAAAUAUUUUUACUAUUUAUUUUUAUAGCUGUGAAAGACAAAAUUUUCAAAUGCUAUUGCUUGUUUGAUAAGAAGUGUGAAUACUAUCAUUUUAAUUUUUACUGUAAUUGACUUCAAACGCUAUUUUUAAAAUUUUGAGUUUAAAUCAAAAAUAAAAUUGUGAUGAAUGAAGUAGCUAAAAUAAACAUUUACUGCCAAAACCAUAUCCCCUCUCUCCAAGUAUUAAAAAAUAGAAGAAAGGGGACAAAUUAAACAAGCCCUCUAUAGGCAUGUUUGUUUCACCGAAACUAGACUUCAAAGUUUUACUGAAAUAGACUUUGGAUUGAAAUAAAGUUCGGUGAAAACUAUUUCUUUUUCGAUGUUUGUUUCGUAGUUAUGAAAGUGAAUUUCAUUAAUUCUGUUGUUUAUUUUGGUAGGAAGUGUGAAUAUAAAACUAGAAUUUAUGUAUAAAUAAUUAAUAAAUAAAACUAAUAUAAUUCUAUUUUAUAUAAUUAAAAUUUAAUUUUAAACAACAAAGUUAUUUUUUUAUAUAUAAAUUAUAAUAAUACAACAAUAAAAUUAUAAAGUAAAAAUAUUAAUACUUAAUUAAUUAAUUUUAUUAUAUUUUAAUUAUACAAACUAAAUAAAAACAUAUUAAAACUUAACUAAUCAAUUUAUAUCAUAUUUUAAAUAUACCAACUCAACAAAAAAAGUAAUUAGUAUCAUAAUUAAAUAUAUUUAAAUAUAACUAUUUUAUCUAAUAUAUUAUUUUAUUAUUUUUUUUAUCUCUAUCACCAUAAUUGAUUUUGGCCUACCGUUUUAGGUUAACUCAUGUUUUGACCAUAACCAUUUUACAAAGAACCAAACAACGGUAGUGAUCGUUGAUGGCGAAAACGGCAUUCUCCCUCUUUACUUAAUUCCACUCAAACAAACAUGCCCUAUGUUGUGAAGAAAGUCUAUAUAUAUUGUAGCACUUAUACCACAUCAUUUAUUUUCAGCUCGUCACUUUUUUUUUUUUCCGAGAGCAAAAUAUAAUAAAAUUAUUUUUUAAUAACCAUAAUAAUAAGAUAGGUUGCAGUAAGCACUAAUGGCGUGAACACAAUGGUCCGACGCAGACGCAGAUUCUCAAAGCAUUAUUUAGCACUUCCUUUACAUCUAAUUAAUUAUUACAAAAAAAAAAAGCAUAUUCUGUUUUUUUCCUCUAUCACACUACACUUUCGUAGCGUUCCCUACUUGCUUUUUUUAAAACAUUAUUAUUAUCUGAACCUCACACAGCAAAAGUGAGGCGUGCUGAAUAGUAGUAGACACGAGUUCGUUCGGUGUACGGGCUGGGUCAACACCCGCAGUCAAAGUAAAAGUCAAAGUCAAAGCCGGGACAUGGCAUGCACCUCCUGCACUUGGUUCACCGGUCUACUGUUUCUACCGUUGUUGCCACCAACCACCUUGACCGCCCCUUUCUCCUUUGCCGCCGCCACGGCCGCCCCCUGCGGUGGCGUCCGCAUCCUUUCGUCGAUGCUUUGAAGCGAGCGCGCCUCUUCUCUCAAUACGAACUUCUGUAUCUUCCCCGUCGACGUCUUUGGCAGCUCCUCCAAGAACACCACCUUGCGCGGCGCCAUGAACUUGGGCAUGUUGUCCCUGCAGUAGGAAAUGAUGUCGUCCUCCUCGACCACGCCUCCGCCGCCGUUGGCGUACUCCUUCUUCAGCGCUAGGAAGGCGCAGGGCGUCUCGCCCCACCGCGGGUGCGGCAUCGCCACCACGGCGGCCUCGCGCACCAUCGGGUGGCGGUAGAGCACGGCUUCGACCUCGACGCUGCUGAUGUUCUCGCCCCCCGAUAUAAUCACGUCCUUGGACCGGUCCUUUAUCUCGACGUACCCGUCCGGGUGGAUGACCCCGACGUCUCCGGUGAGGAACCACCCGUCUCUGAACGCAGCGGCGGUGUCGGCCUCGUUCUUGUAGUAGCCCUUCAUGAUGCUGCUCCCCCGGAGGACGAUCUCGCCGAGGGUGGCGCCGUCGCGGGGGACGCUCCGCAUGGUGUCGGCAUGCUUGACAUCGACGUCGCCGAGGCAGAGCGCGCUGAUGCCCUGGCGGGCCUUGAGCCGCGCCCGGUCCUGCACGGGGAGGCGGUCCCACUCGCCGGGCCACUCGCACACCAGCGCUGGGCCCGUGGCCUCCGUGAGCCCGUAGGCGUGCGUCACGCGGAAGCCGAGGCUCUCGAUGCUCUCCAGGAGCGCCGCGGGGGGCGGGGCGCCGCCGGUCAGCACUUCGACCACGUUGGCCAGGGGCCUGCGGUCGGACUCGGCGGCGUCGAGCAGCAUGCCGAAGAUGACGGGCGCGCAGCACAUGUGGGUCACCCCGCGCUCGGCGAUGGCGCGGUAGACGUCGCGCGCCGCCGUCCCCCGGAGGCACACGUUGGCGCCGCCGCGCGCCGCGACCCCCCACGUGAAGGUCCAGCCGUUGCAGUGGAACAUGGGGAGGGUCCACAGGUACACCGGGGCCGCGCCCACCCCCCACUGCAGGAGCAGCGCCAGGGUGCUCAGGUACGCCCCCCGGUGGCUGUACACAACCCCCUUCGGUGCCGACGUCGUGCCCGACGUGUAGUUCAGCGCGAUCGGGUCCCACUCGUCCUCCACCGCCACCGGCGGGAACCUGCCCGGGUCGCCGCUCGCCACCAGCAGUUCGUACUCCGCCUCGCCGAAGCGCGCGCCGGUCGGGGCGUCGACGUCAUCGAUCAGGACUAGGAGAGGGAGGCGGGGGUUAGCACCCGAGCCGGACGCCAGGUGGCGGAUGGCGUCGGCGGCGAGGCCGACGAAUUCGUAGUCGACGAAGAACACCUUGGCCUCCGAGUGCUUCAGCAGCCCGGCCACGUUCGCCGCAUUGAGCCGCAUGUUUAUGGUGUUGAGCACCGCCCCGGCCAUCGGCACCGCGAAGUGCAUCUCAUAAAGUGCCGGAACAUUCGGCGCAAGAACAGAAACCUAUGUAUAUAUAUUUAGAUACGUCAAAAAUAUAUAUAUUAUAAAAAAUAAGAAAAAAAAUACGCGACCAUGCAUUAUAAGCUAGCAUAAAAAAAAUGCGUUACAAUAUUUCUGAUGGCACUUACCACAUCGUUUUUGGAAAUGCCGAGAGAUCGGAGAGAAGCAGCGAGGCGACAGCAGCGGUCGUACGUCUGCUUCCAGGUGAAGCAGGUGCGCUCGUAGAUGACGGACGGGCGAUCCGCGUAGACGGCGGCCGCCCUCCGCAAGAAGGUGACGGGUGUAAGGGGGAUGUAGUUAGCUCCGCAUUUAGGCAAUUGAUCCAUGAGUGGCUCAAUCGAUCUCCUCAACGAAACUUUUUAGGUUACUCGAGUUGGAGUUGAGAGAACAAGGGUGCAGGAGAUGUGUUUAUUAGUUACUAGUGCAAAAAGAGCCAAGAUGAGAGUGUGCGAGUUCUAAGAGGCAGGGUUGUACAUGCUUUAUAUAGAAAGAGAGCGUGGAAUCAAAAUGUAUACGGGCCCACUAAUAUUAAAACCGAUUUGAAAUGAGAAAAUUGCAUUCUAAGUCUUACAUCAUAUUUUUCAGCAUUAAUUACAUCAUUUGAUAUCGACCGUUUCAAAAAAAAAAAAAAAAUACAUUAAAUAAUAUCAAUGAUUUUUUAAAAAAACUUAAAUGAUGCUAAACAGGCUUUAGCAAGUCGCGCAGCUAAUUUAUUUGCUGUUAAUAGUUGAUAGGUAAUUAAUUGGAAAGUUAAUUUACCCAAUAAUUCCCAGUUAAUUGUAAAUCUGAAAAUAAAUUAGAAUGGUAAAUGUUUAGUGUGGGAUUAAUUAAUUUGUGAUAAUGUGAAGCAAAAAUAAGGCCCAUGUGAUUUGUGCAGGGAGGAGGUGCAGGGGGAGAGUGUAGGGAAAUUGCAGGAUAUAAAAAAUUAGUGGGUUGAACGUUGACUGUUGACUGCUGAUGCUCUUACUUUUGGUUUAACGAGUCUUUUCAAGGAAGGAAGGGAGAUAUUGAAAGGAAAGGAUAUAUAGUGGCGAUUUAGGAAUUCCACAAAUCGGAAAAUUACUAUUUUUUUUUUUUGAGAAAUAGAUACCACAAGUGACAAAAGAUUUGGUGAUUGAUACUCAGUCCCAAAUUCGAAUUAUAGUUGAUAAAUAUUUUCAACUAAGCUUAUUUCUAAAGAAAAAUAAACGAAGCGGCCUGUUAUCUUUCUCUAAAAAAAAUAUAUAUUUAGUAAGAAAAAAAAUGGGGUCGUGGUUAUGAUAAAAAUUGUAAAAAAAAAAAAAAAAGUUUACAAUUCAUUUUGAGUUGUAGACCAUAUAUUGUUUAAAUUAAAAUCAUGCAUGCAACAUUUUGGGUGAAACUAAAUUAGUUUCUUUUGUGGAUCUUAUAGACUUAUACUUCCAAUCCAGCAAUCUAAUAAUUUGUAAGUAGAAAAAAAAAUUAUACGUAACUGAGUGAAUAUUGAUGGAAUUAAAAUAUGAAAUGAUAUUAAGAAUUGCUAAAUGUAAUAAUUAGGUUUGAAAGGAUUGGAGCUAAAGUGAAACAUUUUUCAAAUUUUGAGACUUCAAAAUAUCUAACUUAAAAUUUUAAGAAUACGAAAUAACCACUUAAAAUAUUUAAAAACUUAAGCUGGAUGUGAACACUAUUUUACUAUUUUGUAUUUUAAACGUCCCUCACAUCUCGACUUGAUCGAGACUUUUUCUUUUGAGAGAUUCAACUAAAAUAAAACUAUAAGUGUGUAGAAUUUGAAUUCAAUACAUGCAUCCUAUUCUGACCUUUUGUCACUAUAUAUUCUUAAGUAAGCAUAUUUUAUUAAUCAAAUGGAACAUGGAGACAAGUUAAGAAAAAAAGAAAAAAAAAAGAAAUUAGAAAAGAACGGUUUCAAAUAACACGAGACCAUUUUAUCUACCAUGCAUGUGUCUUUAAUUUAUGUGAUAACGAGGCGAAUAGGACAGCCUUGCAUUCAACACUAUAAAAAAAUUAACAUUUAAGGAUACUUUUUUCAUAUUUAUAAAAUACUUAAAAAUGUUCUAAUAUAGUUUAGCAUCAUAUUUGAAAACACUAGUAAAUAAAGAAUCGUCACUUAUAUACUGACGCUUAUGCCAAGCGUCGGUAAAAUAUAUUCUAAUAUUUUAAAGCGUCAGAACUUUUUGAAACUUUUUUAAUAUUCUAACAUCUCCAGCAUUAAAAAAUAAAAAAAUAAUAGUAAAAUUUAUUAUUGUAUAAAUUGAUUUCAUAUGACAGUGCUUUUGAAGCGUCAGUAUUUGCUAUAUUAUGGAGAAGUUUGGGAACGCUUUUUUCAAGUGUCGUCUAAAAAGCAUCAUUAUAAUGAGAUUUUGCUUAUACGGCAAGAUUGUUCCCACCAAAUUUUUGUUUUUAGUAGCUAGUCACAUCCAAUUUAGCCAUAUCUUAUUUGCCCGUCUCAUGUUUGAAAGUAAACUGGACUAACUAAUCAUGAUCAUAUAACCAACUGUUCUUAGAGCAAGUGACAAAGGGCUUAGUGGUUAGUAUCCGAGAUUUCAAGUUCGAAUCCUAAUUGAUUCAUAUUUUCAGCUAAGUUUAUUUCUAAAUGAAAUAAACGAAGCGGGUAGCGUGCUAUCUAUCUNAAAAAAAAAAAAAAAAAAAAAAAAAACUUAUCAUGAUCGUAUGCUGUUCUCCACUUUUCUUUGGAAAAAAGUUCUUAUGGUAAAUGGUCUUUUCGUUCGUUCAUUAAAGGCAACUUGGUGGGAUGGUCUAAGCAAACUCCAGCAACACGAGACCCCGACCAGAAAAAGAGAGGGGAAAAAAAAAAGAAAAAAAGAACUGUUCCACGUACUUCGUUUUCUCCCUCUUUAAUUUUUCCAUUCCUUUUAUUGAUUGAUCGACCACGUUAACGACUUAAGUUGUUGUUGGCGCAUGAACCAUGCAACAAUGUUCAUUAAUAAUUGCUAGGAACUUUCCUUCCCAGAGGUCUUCAAUGUGAUGGAUUACCAAAAAUUGAAAGUCAGUGAAUGUUGGGGGAGCAACGGUUGGAACUGAACUAGGAUCCUGAGAGAUGGUACUAGCUAGUUUUACUCAUGAACCGCGCCCCAGACUAUUUUGGCGCCGGAGCACCGACAGGCGUUUCUCGGUUAGAUCAACCUAUGCAGCGUUAAGCGAAGGGGGUAUAAGGGACGCACACGUGAGCAGGAUUAGGGACUCCAAAUGCCCCUUAAAGUAAAAGUGUUCUGUUGGCUUAUUCUCUGCGAAAAACCUAGUAAAGAGAGGGUGGACAGGGGACACAACUUGUGUGCUAUGUGGGACGGAUCGGGAAACUGUGGACCACCUAUUCACCCGGUGUGUUUUUAGCAGAUUCAUUUUAGUGAUAGGUCUGGAGAACGUUCAAUCUAGGGACCUGGGGAAUGACGUGAUCUCCGUUUGGGACAGGUGGAUGGGUACAUAGGAAAGGAAUACACUAUUUGAGAAACAAUUUAACCGAAUUAGUAGACUACUAGUGGGUCGUUUGGAAGGCCAGAAACGAUACAAUCUUUAGAAAAAUUGAAAUGCACCCGGUGCAAGUAGUUCACAAGCUCAAACUGUUGAUGAAGGAUUGGGAUCACUUCCUCCCUGCAAAGCAGCGCAUGUAGUAGUUGUAGUAGUUUGGGUGGUUGUUUUUUUUUUUUUUUUUUCCUCCGAGGCUUUGACUGCCUCACCUCAGUAGCUUAGUUUAUCAAUCCAAUGAAUGAAGCGGGUAGCGUGCUAUCUUUCUCCUUAAAAAAAAAAAAAAAUAUUUGCUAGGAACUUGUAUUCCACGUGCUUGUGGUUUUACCCUAUUCAAUUGUAAUAUGAGAUUAUAUUUUUUUUAAAUUAAUGAUGUCAAAUUUGAUAAGCCUAGUAACUUAACUAGGUCCCUUUUUUUUUUUCUUAUCUUUGUAUUUUAUAUAGUUUUAAGGAAGUAUGUCAUCGUUAAUUAUAAGUUGGAAAGAAAUGUCACCCCAAAAAAUUGAUUUUUAUAAAAAAUAGUGCAGGAAUUAUUAAUAUAUAAUCUAAUGAUAACCGCUUAAUUGCGCGGAACUUCCAUAUCUUGUGUUUUUACCCCAAUUAUAAUAUGAGAUUAAUCUCCUUCUAACAAAAAAAAUAAAAUGAUAAAUCACUUAACUAAGUAUUUUCAGUUCCUUGAAUUGUUAAGAACUGUUGGUAAGCUAUUCUCUACCUGACAUAGAGUUUUAUUUAUCAGCUCUAAGAGGUUCUAAGUUUAGUUUCUAUAUAUGUUAUUUAAUGACAUAAUUUUUUGUUUAUAAAGUUUUUGUAAUCGGUGCUUAUAUUAUAGUUCAUCUGAUCUUCACGAUGCAUAUAUAUAUAAGUUGAGAUGUUAAGAUUUUUGGAUCAUUUCCUAACAAAUUGAUUUUAGUUUCCACCCAUCGGUCAACAAAUUAAUUUAAUUUUCACCUACAUCAGAUAGCAUGGUGCAUGCACUGUAGCCAAUCAUUUUACUCCAUCAAUGCAAAAGGUUUUUCUAUGGUCAGAGACUCAAGAGUUUCUUUUCGAUUGAUAAUCUCGAGCCACGUACUUUGGUAGAUAUAAGUAAUAUUAUCUUUGAAUUAUUUAUUGAUCUCUACAAAUAUUGAAAUCGUUAAUCCUAAUACGUUUAAGUAAUAGGACAUUGGCGACGUGUGGUCAAUUCAAAUUUUAACCAAAGAAUUUAAACGAAAUAAUUGUUUUGACUAGGUAAAAACCAAACUUCUUUCUUUCUUUAUUUCUUUCUUUCUUUCUUUUUUUUUAAUAUUUGAUUGCUAUAAUGUCUCAUCUAGGGGUUAAGUAUAAAAUUCAAAGUAAAUGAAGAUGUCAAGGUAACAAAAGGAGUGGCGUUUAAUUUUGCAUCUACGCAUGGGAUUGUCAAAUUACAGUAAACAAACAAUGAUGUUAGCACAUAAUUUAAUAGUUUAAAAGUCAUUUACAAGAUAAUUAAACUAUACGUCACCUAAGGCAAUUAAUUCCAAAAUAACGGUUGUGUCAUUUUUUCAAAACUCUCGGGAUAUAUCCCACCAACCAAAAUUGGACUUAUAUGCUUGUAAUAAUAACGUAUAAAUUUUUUUUAUUAUUUUUUUUGGGAAAAACAUCGAUCGAUUGAGCGAAUCCAGGAGCUCUCAGUAUUUUAUUUGUUUUUAUUCUAAAAAAAUUAACGGAUGAAUUUUUUUUUAUUCUUAUCUUUUGUCGUAUGGCUAAUGAUGUAGCGGAUAUAAAACAAUGUGUAUCGUAUGCAAAAAGUAGGGAAGCAAAAUAAGUAAUACAUUGUUUUUAUUAUUCUAUUACUGAAUAAUCCAUUGCCCGAAAAAAUUAUCAAAUGAAAUGAGUCCGAUCCCACACUUCUGGCUUGCAACCGUCUAUGAUACUAACUUUAACGACUCAGUUCAUUGGCGCUGAUAAUACGUUAAUCCUAACCAUUGGUGAAAAAUAUUUAAGUGCAAUUCUUAGUAUUAGAAUUUAUCAAUCAUAAUCUCUUUUUUAUUUGAUGUGAGAUUACGUCACGAAUUAGAACAAAAAAAAGCUAGGGACUAAACCUAUAAAUGUAAUGUUUUGGAUUGGGUUGAUUCUGAUGAUUAUAUCGGAAUUAAAUAUCCUAAGCUUUGUGCAGUUAGAUUGGAUUGAAACUCCCAAACAUGUUGGCCCGGAAAAAAAUAUGCAUUAAUAUUAAGUAUUGCAAAUUUAAAAACUCAUUUUAUAUUUUGGUCAUAAAAAGAUAUCUAAGCAGCUUCAUUUCUCCAAUCACUAUAACAAAAACGGUUUAUAGCGACACUUUUAAAUGUAAGUACAUGUCAAAAAAGUGCUGCUAACUAAAAUUACCGACACUUUUAAAAAGUGUUGCUAUAUGUGGGGUCGCUAGGUAUAUAGUGACAGUUAAAAAGUGUCGCUAUAACCUAAAAGAGUGCUGCUAAUUUACCAACACUUAUUUAAGUAUUUAGCAACCGCCGAAACUCUAUCUCGUUGGCUACGGUGGCGGAGGAGGACGACAGGAAAGGCUCUUCGUCUAGAAUUUCAGUGGAUUGAGUGAAAAGAGAAGAAAAGAUGGUAAUUAAUUUUUUUUUUUUCUUUUCUGUUUGUAAUCGAGCCAAAUGGACUGGGUGUGGUGGGUUGAGUAGAAUAAUCUUUUAUUUUUGGUCGGAUUUGGCUUUAUAUUUAGGCAUUAGUAGAUGUUUUUUUAAAUUUUAGGAUAAAUAGGACACUUAUCCCAAACAUGUGUCCCUAUAACCUAAUUCUGUUGUAGUGAAUGGAGCUCCAACUACUGACGUUAUUUUAAAAGCUAAGUCGAGCAGACACUUAAAAGAUACAGAAGAAAAAAAAAAAAAAAAAAAAAAAAAAAACACCGAGAGCGAACCGUCAAUUGUGAUAAUUUUUGUACAGGUGAUGUUAGUAUUCAUUACCCGACUUAAUCCAGUACAAUUUGGGUGAGGUUUGGUUCUCACAAUUUGGAAAUUUGGGUCUAGUUUUUUUGAGUUGGUUUGAAGUUACAGAACAACGACCUUAUUAGGGCAAAAUAUAUGCUAAUGUUAUUAAAUUACGGUGAACCGAAUUACAAAAGUGAAUAUUUACGAUCGAAAUUUUACUUCAUCCCUUUCCAUUGAUCGAUGAAAAAAACGCGGUUCCUUGUGCUAAGUUAAACGUGACACACAUGCUAGCAUUAAAAUAUAUACACAGGUUAGGAUUUAGGAAUCAAACUUGUGCGUGCCCCUAUGCAGUUUUAUGUUUUUACUGUAGAGUAGAUAUCCCAAGGGACAAAAUGUAGUAUGCCAAAAUUGGCAAAGAAUAGCAAUUUCCUCUUAUCAGUACAUUUUCGAGAAGCCCACAUGUUAGGUGAUGAGAAUGAUGGACCCAUCGCACGUGUUAGAGUGUGAAAAGUGUGUGUAUUUAGAUGCAAAAUCGAAUGAGUCUAUUUGCCUUAUUGGUUCAUUAUAACAAUGCAUGGAGUACAACGUUUGCCACGUGAAUUGAAAUAGAGAAUAAACAAUAUAUACGUACAUAUUUCCGAAGUAGGGUGGGGAACAUGCGUACAGAUGCAAGUUGAUUCGGAUUUACAUAUAGAGCUUUGAUUCUGAUGGGUUCUUCUUACUAGGGCGAAAAGUAGAAGCUAAUUUUUUUUUUUAAAAAAAAAAAACCUCGAAUCAUUAAUAAAAUAAAAUAGUGCAAGGGUAGAGAAUCCCUUUCUUUGGUUGAUUUAUUUCAAUCUAUCAAAAAUUCGCUCCCAUUCUGAUCACUCCCAAAUAAAGCAACAAGUCGAGACAAAAAAUAAGAUAAAAUUUAAUGCGUUGCAAAUCCACUUUGACUUGCCAAAAAAAAAUAGGGCUAGGUGAGAGACCCCUUCUGCCUUCGAAUCUGUCCCGUUUGCAUUCCUAAACACACACACAAAGAUAUAUGUAUAUACAAAUUAUGAAAUUAAAGCACCAUUGAUUGAUUUAAAUCAAAAAAAUUAAAAUAUUAAAUAUAUGUAUGUAUAAUAAAAUUAAAAUUUUGAAAUAAGAUAGUUAACUCAAAAUACUCCAUAGUUCAUGUGAAUUUUAUAUAUUUUUAUCUUUCUAGUAUAUAUAUAAUUUUUGAAAUAAGUCCGAACUAAACUAACUUUAUGUUUGAGAAUUGACUUAUUCUUAAAAAUAAGAAAAAUAACAUUUUAAUAGUUAGAUUGGCAUAGUGGAAUAGGAGUAAUUGAAAUUUUAAAAUAAAAAUAUUUUAUCUAAUUAAUAAUUAUUGAAUAUUAAUAAAUAAUAAUUUAAUCAAUAAUUAAUUAAUUAUGAAUAUUGUGCAAGAUAAUGGAGAGAACCACAUUAAUUAUUUACUUACCUAUAAAAAAUAAGUUAAUAUGCUAAUUUAUUAUUUAAUCAAUUAGAUAAUUAGUUAAUAAACUAAUUAGAUUUGUCAUAUAUAAUACUAAUUGCUUAAUUAAUAUAUAUUACUUAAGGAAUAAGCACAUAAGAUAAUUAAUGAUUUAACUGGCUAGUUAAUUACGCACAAAAAAUUAAUUACGUACCUAGAUAGUUAAUUAAAUAUUUAUAAAUUUGAUGAGUUAAGGGAAUUAGUUAAUAAGUUUUGGUAUACGAUAUAUUUAUUAGUAAUAUUUACAAGCUUAAUUUGUAAUUUAACGACAAAACAAGAAAGGAAAAUAGUAGUCCCAUUCUCAUAAGUGAUUAAUCCCAAAAUUCAGAAAUAAGGCGAAUUGUUGUUUCCCAUUUGUUUGAGAGAAUAAACCGAAAUAAGACCCUUAUUCCACCUUUGUUUUCCAAUCAAACAGCAAACGAGUUUAGUCCCAAAGAGAAUGAAUGUGCAAAACAUGAUUUAAAAUUUUCAUUAUUCGAUUCAAACAAUUCAAAUUCUAAAUUUGACCCUAGUAAAUUACACUAUCCUAUAUGUUUCUAGAUGAAUGCACAGUGUCUUUUUACGUGCAGAGUUUUCACAAGCGCAUGCAUGUCUCUCCAAAUCUUUGAAUAUUAGUUAUUUCACAAGAACAAGAGAUUUUUCGAAACUUUUGCACUAAAAUUAUAUUGAACAAAAUAUUUAAUUUUGAAAGAGGGAAAUAGCAUAUCAUCUGCUUAGUUCUUUUUUAUCUAAAAAAUAAAAUUAACUAUAGACUUUGAACUUAGAAUUUUGAGUAUUAGUCAUUAAAUUUUUUAGCGCUUACGCUAAUUAUAUUAUAAAUACUCAUUAUAUUUUUGGCUGGAGUAAAUCUAUGGGUUUACCCAACCAACUACAUCGAAUUGUUUUGAGUUAAUUCUUCGUUUGUACUAUUACGACCAAAAGCUAAGCUUAAUUAGGCCUCAUAUGUAACUCGUUUUGGAGACAACACGUACGAUUUCAAGCGCAUGAUGUAGAAACAUAUAUGCAUGGGAACAGUUUACUACUGAGUUUCUUCGUUGUACGGCUACGACCCAGAACCAAUUGAAAGACUUAGGUGUGUCAAUAUAGAAACACAAUGUUAACAUAAAGCAUUAAAAACGUUGUUCUCUAAUUACUUAUUGGGUGCGUUUGGUUCGCGCUAUCUUUUAAAGAUUCAUAGUAAUCCAAUGAGAAUAAAAAAAUAUGACGGUGUUUGGCUAAACGCACUAAGUAAUUUAGUUGGUAAUAUUGGAUUCACUUGGGAAUAAGAUUCACCCCAAAGUACUAAUCUCAUUCCCUUGAGGGGGAUGGGUAUCCUCAUAUUAAUGGAUUGGGGUAAUCAUAAUAUGUCUAAUCUUUUUCUUUCUUCAUACCCGCCGGCUAAUUGAUAUUAUUUUUCUUUACACUCUAACCUUAUAUCUCUCUCUAAACUUAUUUUUCUCUCUAAAAUUCAACUUUUUUUUCUCCUCUCUAAACUAAGCUUUCUCUUCUCUCUCUCUCUCUCUUUUUCUAAAAUUUCAACUCUCUCACGUCCUCUAAUUUCGACUAUAUUUUUCUUUUUAUUUUUUAAUAUACUCUCUCUCUCUUAACUUAUAUCUCUCUCAUCUUUUCUAAAAAAAUGUUAAACUUUUGGUAACAUUAUUUAAAAUUAAUUUAAUGUAAUUAUUAAUUAAUUGUUAUAUUUUUGUAAUAUUAAAUAACAUAGAUUAAUAUUACCGUGCGAACCAAGCACAGGAAUUCCACAUUCUUAGUAAUAGGAUGAAUAGGAAUAAGAUUCUCGGAUAUCUUUUAUUCCUAGUAAUCUUUCAUAAUUGCGAACCAAACCACCCAUUAAGUUUUUGGAUUAACGUUGUUUUAUACGAUAUGAGGUAGUGAGUUUAAUCCAAUAAUAUUUUUAGUUACCAACAACAAUUGAGCAAAGUAUAUAAUAUGUGAAACUGAGUAUUGUUUAGUCUUGAGAAAUGAUUCGUACUUUUAAAAAAUAAUAAUAAAAAAGAUCUUAACCGUUGAUUAAUAUAGUAAAAAUGUAAUUUUAAUAUUUAGCAGGUAAAAAGAUUAUUUUAUUCAAGGUUUGUUUGGUAAUUAAACAAUACAACAUUUAAAGAACUUUUAAUUGAGGUCCUAAAUUUAGGCAUUAAUUGCACUAAUUAGAGAAAUUAAUUGAUUAACCAAAUUUAUGCAUUAAUUAGGCAUUAAUUUAGGCAUCUACUUUAAAUGUUUUAGUGUUUCUAAAAUUAUGCAUUAAUUUAAAUUAUAGGAAUUUUAGAAAUAGUUCUAUUUCUAAAUACGAUGAAUUUAAAUUUUAAAUAUUAAAUAUUUAAAAUUUAAAAGUGAAAUUUAAAUUAGAGGAAUUUUGUAUUACUAUUUAAAAAAAUUGUAAUGUUGGUAAAUAUUUUAAUUCAACAUAUUUAAUAUAUUUAAGAAACUUUUAAAUUCAUAUAGUUUAGACAAUAAUUUUGUAUCACUUAUUUAAAAAAUUUUGAAUGUAGGUUAAAAAAUUUAUAAUUUAAAUAUAUUUAAUAUGUUAAAAAAAAAUUAGAGUUGUGCUAGUACUUUAGACAUUAAUUUUGUAUGACUAUUUAAAAACAUUUGUAAUGUUGGUAAAUAUUUAAAUUUAACAUAUUUAAUACGUUUAACAAAAUUAUGAAUUCAUCUUAGUCAUUAAUUUUGUAUACUAAUUUUAAAAAAUUAAAUGUGGGCAAAUAUUUAAAUUCAACAUAUUUAAUCACAAAAUAAUCUAAAUUUCAUUCUUAUUUUAUUAAAAAAAGAUUUAGAAAACAAUAGGUAUGGAAAGAAAUUUUAAUGCAUAGUUUCUUAAAAUUAAACUCGUUUGAAAUAUUAAACAAAUAAACAAAGCGAAAAGAAAAAUUAAAAGAUCAUAUUGUCAAAUAAUUUGAAAAUUUUUUUAUAUGAAAUGCCAAAUUAUGAAAGGAAAGAUAGAGAGAGAAAAAGUAAACAAAGAGAAAAUAAAAAUUUUGAAAAUAUAGUAGAGGUAAAAUGACUAAAUUGCCCAUGUAUUAAAAGAUAAAAAUAUUCUUUUUUGAGAUACCUAGUAAUCGGUACCUCUCCCAAAGUGACCUGCUAUUGCAGGUCACAAUUUAAAAAAAAAAACUAAAUUUGAGCAAUUGAAUACGCAUGAAUAAACGGUAACGAAAAAAAAAAAAAGUAUAGAAGUAUUACUCUAUACAAANUCCAGUACCUUAGACAUUAAUUUUGUAUGACUAUUUAAAAACAUUUGUGAUGUUGGUAAAUAUUUAAAUUUAACAUAUUUAAUACGUUUAACAAAGAGAAAAGAAAAAUUAAAAGAUCAUAUUGUCAAAUAAUUUGAAAAUUUUCUUAUAUGAAAUGCCAAAUUAUGAAAGGAAAGAUAGAGAGAGAGAAAAAGUAAACAAAGAGAAAAUAAAAAUUUUGAAAAUAUAGUAGAGGUAAAAUGACUAAAUUGACUAUGUAUUAAAAGACAAAAAUACCUUUUUUUGAGGUACCUCGUAAUCGGUACCUUUCCCAAAGUGACUGCUAUUGCAGGUCACAAUUUUUAAAAAAUUAAAUCUGAGUAGUUGAAUACGCGUGAAUGAACGGUAAUGAAAAAAAAAAAUAAAGUAUAGAAACAUUACUCAUUAGUCUUUGGCUCUUAGCUUGUUAGUAUCUAUUUCUUUGUAUUUUUUCCUUUUUAAUUCUUCUAUUAUAUAGAGUACACGCGCCUCCUGUACUUUUGAAAAUACGGACACUACAACAAAAACGGUCUAUAGCGACACUUUUAAAUGUAAGUACAUGUCAAAAAAGUGCUGCUAGCUAAAAUUACCGACACUUUUAAAAAGUGUUGCUAUAUGUAGGGUCGCUAGGUAUAUAGUGACAGUUAAAGAGUGUCGCUAUAACCUAAAAGAGUGCUGCUAAUUUACCAAAACUUAUUUAAGCAUUUAGCAAUCAUCGAAAUUCUAUCUCGUUGGUUGCGGUGGCGGAGGAGGACGACAGGAAAGGCUCUUCGUCUAGAAUUUCAGUGGAUUGAGUGAAGAGAGAAGAAAAGAUGGUAAUUGAUUUUUUUUUUUUUUUCUGUUUGUAAUCGGGCCAAAUGGACUGGAUGUGGUGGGUUGAGUAGAGUAAUCUUUUAUUUUUGGUUGGAUUGGGCUUUAUAUUUAGGCAUUAGUAUUUAUUUUUUAAAAUUUUAGCAUAAAUGGGACACUUACUCAAAAGUGUCCCAAACAUGUGUCCCUAUAAUCUAAUUCUGUUGUAGUGGGAGGCCUCCAUAUUUAUAAGUUAUUUUUAAUGAUAGAAUAUUCGAUUUGACAAUUGACUCUGUUAGGUAUAAUCUACGCUAUUGAAACUAUCUGGAAACUAAAUUUAAUAAUCUUUUGAUAUCAUUUACCACGUUAUCAAAAGGUCUCAAAAUUAACUAUUUUAAAAUCCAAAUUACAUAAAACUUUAAUAAAUAUUCAUAACAAGAUCAAUACUUCUGAUUUGAAAUUUAAGUCUUUUAUCACUAUAUUUUAUGAGAUUUUAAUUUACAGCCGUUCAUUUUUAGGCUACUCGUUCACUAGGUAAAUGAAAUCAAAAAAUUGUAAAAUUUAAUUUCUAGAUAGUUCUAAUAACGUAGAUCAUAUCUAACCGAACCGAUUGCUAAUUGUAAAAAUAGUUAAUUUCUUUCUCAGCUAAAUUUCUUUAAGAAAUGAACUCAGUUAUAUGUGGCCGAUAAGAGCGAAUGCAUAUCGUAUACAAUAUUAGUUAAGUUCUAUUUUUGGGAAUAUGAUGUUGUAAGUAGUACCUACUAUCCUAGAAAAAAAUAGAAAAAAAAACUAUUAGGAUUUCAUAACCAACUCAUCAUAACCAAUAUAAUAACUUGUUCCAGUUGCCAAACUAGCCCAAAAUGUAGUUUUAUGGUUGUCUUUUUUUUUUGGAUUUAAAUCGCCUAUCAAUACUAAAAAGAAUACUGAAAGAGAAAUUAUUGCUUGCACCGGGUAUAUGAGUACAUCUCAUGCACCACACCUCUAAAAUGAAUGCUAUGUUAUAUCAAGACCUUAAAAUUAAAAAUCUAACUUAUUAGAUAUGUUUUAUAAUUUUGGGCUGUCGAUUUUGUUGUUAAUGAUUUUUAAACUUCUACCGCAAAUCGCAUCUAUUUGGUUUGGAUUUUUUUUUGAGAGAGAGAUAGGUAACACGCUACCCGCUUCGUUUAUUUCAUUUAGAAAUAAACUUAGCUGAAAAUGUGAAUCAACUAGGAUUCGAACUUGGGACUUCGGAUACCAACCACCAAGCCCUUUUCCACUUGCUCUCGGGAUGGUCGAUUUUCGAAUUUGGUUUGGAUUUCUAAUUUUACGAUAUUGAUCAUCAAAUUUGGGUGUGGUGCAUGAUGCCUGUGGAUACACCAAGUUCAGGCUUAAGAGCUAGGCAUGGGCCCAUAACUAGGCUUCCUCACUGAGGCCCAGUUUGACUAAAAUCCAAACUAUAAUCAGGCCUAAUUUUUGGGCCAAUUUUGGCACCAAAGUAUAUUUGAGAGCCCAAACGCACGGCCCAACUAAGGCUCUGGACCAUGGGCCUCAUUUAGGCCCGGCCCAUGUUCUGUUUGUAUGGAGCCACAGUAAACUUGUAUUGCUGAUUCUACCAGAUUUUGGUUUUAAGUUGUACUUUUGAUCUGAUUAAAAUGGAAAAGUGCAUUUUGUAAUUGUUUUCUGCCACUUUAAAUUGAAACUUUGUUUAAACUUUAUUGCUCGGUCCAGGUACAGUUUUUCUUACACUAGACACUCACGUGUGCGCGGUGGGAUACGGUGAGUCAUGCCACAUGCAUAUACGGAAGCGAUAAUAAAAGAGACGGCAAAAAAAAAUAAAAAAUAAAAUUAAAGCCCUGUUUAGAUAUCGGUAUAAUUUUUUUUGUGCAACUGAAAAUAAAUAAAAUAUUAAUGUCUAUGAUUUGCUAGAAUAAUAUAUUUUAUUUAUUUGAUUGUCAAACAUAAUAUUACUUCUCAUCUCUAAAAUAGUGUAAGUUUUUUAAGUAUAAAUCAAAAUGAUAUGUAGAAUAAUUAAGAAAUUCUUACGUUCAAUGAGGGCCUAAAUCACUAAAUAGCGAAUGUGACGACCUCUUGGAACUGAGAGAGCAUUGGAUCAGCUCUCAUACCAUGUUACAAAAAAGAUUUAAUAAUUUUGUGGAAAAUGAUUAAGAUAUAGUUUUAACAUUCUUUAAUAAAUGGCUUUUCUUAUCUUCUCCAUGUAUAUAGCAUAGUGGGAUAAGUUUGGUGUCAAUAUCAUCUGACACUACCCAUGUAGAGGAGGCAUUCUUUCUAACUACUAUGCGAGAAUAUGAUUUUGGGAUUGAGGUGCUUAAAAAGCACCUGUCUUAAAAAUUUCCAAAGUGUUUUGAGGAUUUUCUACUUUAAUACUAUAAACUAGUGGGUGGAACAUUUGCUUCUUUCGUGACAGUUUCUUCUAUAAUAAUUUUAUAAUAUUGAAGAAGAAAAGACUAAAUUUGCUAUUGAAUUUUCUUGUAUCUUGCAAAAUAUAAAAGUGGGUAUACUAAUAUUGUAAUUUCAAAUUAGGUGUAACUAACAAUCAAAAGUAAUUCGGGACAUGUUUGUUUCAUCGAAAGUGGAGCAGGGUGAAAGUAUUUUCAACCGUAAAUGCUCACUUUCGUCAUCUGAUUUGGCGUAAAUUCAAUUAGCCCGUAAUUCUACUUUUCUAAAAUGUCGUAACUGACUUCGCUCUAAGUGGCUUCCAAGUUAAUUACUGAAGAAAAAGAGACAGAAAAAAGUAGCUAAAAAAGUUGGUGCCAUCAUUUUCAUCUGUCUAUGUACUAUUGUUGAAAUUUUCAAUAAAAUAAAUAAAAAAAAAGGGAGAUGAUCAAAAGUUUCAAAUAUAUUAACUUUCUACCGAUCAAGCAGCCAAAACAAAUAUUUUUUUUCAUCUUGUACUUCAAUUCAAUUAAAAUUUUUUUUGUUCAAUCUAAAAAUUACUUAGCACAAACAAACAAGGUACCUUGGCACAUAUUGAAGAGUAUCUUAUCUAAAGCAUUACAUGUUAGUACUCAAGCUACAUGGAAUGGAUAUAUGGGGGAUCUUGACUGGUGUGUUUGACCGGAUGGGGACGCCCCCAUCAUUUGCUGCUGCUGCUGCUGCUGCCGCCAGCGGCAGCAGCUGUUGCUGUCAGGCUGAGAGAACUGCUGCAGCUUCUGACUUCCCCACACUGAGUGGCUUCUGCUUCUCAGGGAUGGGGUGUAACCCAAAUUGGGCUUUUCCCCACUUCCCCAAAACCACCCCAAUCCCAGCCCAGUGAAAAAUUCUAUAAUGCAACAUGUAUAUUCGUGACGUGGCGUAAACAAAUCAAUCAAAUAUCUUCUUAAUUUUAGAAAUAUAUAUUUCAUCAUGAUUGUAAAAAAAAUAUUUUUAUUGUGCUUUUGUUUGAAAAGAAGAAAUGUGAUUGGCUUGUUAUUGAUGACGUGGUGCAAGCGUGACAGUGUAGAAUUCCUCCUGCCCAGUUAAUAAUCCUCAAGCAUUUUUUGUACCAAUACCAAAUUAUUAUUUAUAAUUUCACAGAUUCAUUUACUUGUCUAGCCUCUUUAGAAAAAAAAAAAAUUUACCUAGCCUCCUUUUGAAAAAUAUUCUCAAUCUAGCCUCAUUUUUAUAGAUUAGAAAAAAGAACGAUAAGUGAAUAAUUUUAUAUAGAUUAAUAUGUUAAGUGGGUGGAGAUUAUCUUUUUUCUCUCUCCUUUUAAAUUAAGUAAAUGUAAUGUGAUUUUAUAUAUGAACACUUAAUAAACAAUUUAUUUAUUAAUAAUAAUAUUUCUAAAUUAUAAUUUUUUAUUAGUACUACUAGUACUUAAUUUGAUUAUACAAGUCAAUAUAAUUUAAAAAUGUUUUUAUAUAAAAUCACAUUACAUUCACUUAAUUUAAAAGGAGAGAGAAAAAAGAUAAUCUCUACCCACUUAACAUAUUAAUCUAUAUAAAAACUUGUGCUCUCGAGAUUCUGUGCACUACACUGUAUUAAUUUGACAUCAAUUACUAUUUGUGGACUACUGGAGGAUCUAAAGUGGAGGCUAUCAAUAUCAUGAAUAAUGAGUUGGAUAAGUUGAAAUGACCACAUAUUAAAACAAUAAGUUAUGUGAUUCAACCCUAUGCAGCUUUUGUAGGGGAUAAGUUUGAGUGACAAAGCUCAAAAAUCUAUUCACUUUCACAUUUACCAGCUAACUUAUUUUUCUCUACAAAAGAAAAAAAAAAAAAAAAAAAAGCUACUGCUCGUAGUAUAUAUGCUCUUAUUAGAAUCAACAAAAUUUAAGAAUACAUUUUUCGGUGCUUCUUAGUAAUAUUUACUGCAACUGAAGAAUUGGUGAGCGAAAUAUGCUAUCUUUUUCUCUUUGUCUUUAUAUUUAUAGUGAGAGGAUACUUGAUUUCUAAAAAGUUGACUAUUAAUCUACCAAAAAUUUGAAUGCUUGAUCUUAUUUAGCAAGAUUUAAGAGUAUGUAGAAUCGUAGAUACUCUAAAUAUUAUUCUAAAUUGAUAUCUUAAGUUUUUAAAUUUUUUUAAAAAAUAGUUAUUUUAUGCAGAGAGGGGUCGUGACUCGUGAGUUCAUAUUGAUGGCUUAAAUUUUAAUAAAAAAAAUAAGUAUUUCAUAAUGUUCGCACAAUUAACCCAUUUUCUUCUCAGAAAGUGUAAAGUGACAAUACGUAAUUAAUUAAUAAUUACUCCGCUCAGCCAUUAAGCACUUGCCACUUGUCAACACCCGAUUUGUCCAGCACUCAGCGUACAUGGCAUCCUACGCUACAGCUCAAAAUGCAUAAUAACCCAUGGAAAUAAAGCGCACAAAUUAAAGUCCACUGUAGUAACAGGUUUUUUACCUUCGCUGUGACGCACUGAUCGUAAAGCGAGUUUGUCGCCGUCGAUCAUCUUGAGCGACUUAAAUAUAUAUAUAUAUGUAACGGCCGUUACUGCUCCGUUCCAACAUCCAGCACCAACUCGUAAAAAGUGAACGGAGCCGUUGCGGCCAUGAACCGGGACGUUAGUGUCGGUGGGUUGGUAGUUGAAUUAAUGCGUGGACCGCGGUCCAUAGUCCCGAGAACCUCCUCCCAAACAAAAACCUUCGCGUAUGAAAAUGUAAGAAUUUAGAUAUGAUACACACCACAUAAAAGGCUUUUUUUGGCUCUCUCUCUCUCUCUCUCUCUCUAUAAAAGAUGUCUAUAGUCUAUAAAUCACAUGCGAACAUAUUUUUUUAUUUGAAAUAGAAUUUGAUCUGAGUGACAGGUAUGUGCUACUCUAGUCAGUGGGAUAGUAAUAUUAAAACAAAAUUUUCAUAAUAAUUUUAUCUUAUAAUAAAUAAUAGGUUCUUAAACAUUAUUAAUUAUGUCCUAUUUAGUUAGUGUUUAUAUAAAUAAUUUUUAAAUUAUAUUUAUUCGUCAUAAACUAUCGAGAUAGAUUCACAUUAGUAGAAUAGAAUGGAAGACUAAUAGUGUAACUUGAUCUUUCUCUAUUAUACUUUGUUGUAAAAAACUUUGCAGCUUAGAGAAGUUAUUUUAUGGAUUGAUCCACUUUGUUAGUCAAUCACAAAAUAAUUAUUUUAUUUGUAUAAUUCACUCCCUAUUCUUUACUACUUUCGAACCAAAUCAAUUAAUUUCGUUACAAAAGAAUUACUACUCACUUUAUAGAAGAUUAAAAUAAGAAAUGUGGCAGGUGGACCAGGUUCAGGGAACAAUUUCUCCCAGGUCUUGGUUGUUGACCGCGGUCCAUAGUAAUAAUAAUUCUUCGGGGGACAUGGCGACAGAUGAAGGGUAGAAUCGUCAUUUGGAAAAUCUAGCAGGGGUAUUUUCGGGAAGUGGGAAAAAGAGUGUGGGAGCCGGUCAAACGAGUUUGACUACGGCCCUGAUCGCAGUGACAGCCGAGAUUGUCAGGGCCCUUUCCUGACGCAGAAAAAGGGCGCACCACAAAUACACACAACACCAAAAACCCCAUACGGUAAUAACAAGUGGGGCCCACCUGUGACAGCCAAUAAUGUUGCUCGGCUUUUAGUGGACGAGUUCUUUCGUGGUCCCUGUGCACCACAUCAUCGUGGACCGCCUAUCCAUCAAGGAUUUGGUUAAGUGUAAAAUAACAAAAAUUCACUUAGAUUUUUCAUUAACACAAACUGAUUUGGUAUUGCUGUAUGUGUUAGAAAAUUUUGUACAUAGAACAACUCAUUCGUCCUUUUACAGAGAAUGACACUACACACGGAAACAUCUAAUACGCGAAUUUGUAAAAAAAUAUUUAUAUAUAUAUAUCUCUUAAUAGAAUUGGUCAUAAAUAAAUUCUUAUAGGCCUAUAAGUUAGACAAUUUAGAAAUGACGUGGUGGACCGGGUCUAUAUGUGUAUAUAUACUUUCGGUGUGCUAUAGCUCAACGUGAUUUGCUGUGUUAUGUAUUUAAACUAGGAUUAAUUCUAUAUGGUACCCUUUGGUUUGGGUAUAAGCAAGAACUAACUAUUACAUGGAUAAGUAUAAGUAUGAGGAUAAGAAAAAUAGCGUUUGGAUGAAAAUUGGGUUGUUUCCGGGGAUAAGAAAAAUAGCGUUUAGAUAGAUAAUAUGGAAUAAGAAAAAUAUUAGAUAGUUUUAUAUAGAAAAUAAAGGUAUUGGUGGGGAUAGUUAUAACCGGUUAUUAUAAGUAACCGAGAAUUACUGUUCUUAGAUAAAAAAUUAGCGUUUGUGUAUAAAAGGGGGGAUAAGGGCCUAUCCCUAUCCCUAUCCCUGUCCCCUAACCAAACACUCUUGUAAAUACCGUGAAUGAUAAAUAUAUUCAUACAAAGUUCAAUUUUUAUAUAUUCUUUCUGCAAAAGUAUUGAUGUUUUCAGAUAUGCCUAUCUGAUUUGUUACUAUUAGAAAACUGUUUAUAUUUGUAAUUUUGCCAUCAUACAUAUAUCUCUCCAAAAAUUAUAAUAAUAUAAUAUAAAAAAGUAAAAAUAUCAAAAACUAAUUAGAAUUAAGUAUUUAAUUUAUGAUUAAUUAAAAUUUUCUAACGAAUUCUAAUCACAGGAAUAUAUUUAAAAAUAUCAUAAUUUUUAUAGAAACUGAAAAUUAAAUUUUAUAAGAAUAUAUUUAUUAUUUACUAUAUUUGCCGGUUAAACUAUCAUAUUAUAUGCUUUUACAGUGAAUCAGACAGCCGCAGAUCAACAGUAGCCAAUCAGUGCCCGUCUCUUGGAAUUUCCUAAGUUACUAAAAUGCCCCUCCGUCUCAGAAAACGACAAAACCCACACAGCGGGAACGUGCUCUGCGUAGAGCUCUACGCAGGGUAAAUCCGUAAUUUAGGGUGUCGUACGAGGGUACUUUUGUCUCUGCGAAAAGUUGUCGCCCGCACGGGUCCCGGUUUGACUGUAUGCGUGGAAGAGUUGAAACUUUUUUUGUUUUUUCACUUCUUUUGCUGCGUAAUUCAUUUGCGCACUAAGGAUUUUGUAGAAUCAUGGUUGUAGUAAUUUGCUACAACCCGAUCGAAUAUGUACUAGUAAUGACUAAUGACAAAUAGUACUUAUUUCUAAUAUAAGGUGUGUGAAAAAUUCUUGCAUAUUAGAUUUUUAACUAUUCAUUAAAUGAGGAAUGCUAUUUUCGUCGUUCAGCUCCAUAAUUUGACCAAUCAUUGUAUUCCACGAAUACUGAAAAUUAUUUUCUUCAUCGUAAGUGCAACAAUUUUAUAUCUGUGAAAAAUUAAUUUACAGCUCUAUAUAUAGAUAUGAUUUUUCAAUUUAAGAUAGUAACGGUACAAUGCUAUGUUUAUUUGGGAAAAUUCUAUAAUGAUUAAUUACAUUAGUUAAUGUGGUAGAUGAAAACGAUGGUAUGAUUUAGUGUAGGAUGAUAUCUAGGAUAACCAAAAUGAAAUAAUUGUAAUCUAUUGUAUUAGUGUAGAGUAAAAUGUAGUAUAUCUUUUUAAUCAAACAAAAGAUUUUUUUUUACUGCAAAAUUGCCAUAACAUGUAUUCAUGAUAAAACACAGGAUUGUGGAGUUGUAGUUCACUAGUUUAGAGAAUGAUACUUAGAAUUAUUAAUGAUCUACAAUAUUUAAAGUUGCUAUGUAUAAAAAAAAAAAGUCUUUUUUUACUCUUUUGCUUCGUAGAAAAAUUAAAAAUUUAAAUAACAUUAAUCAGAAGUGUGAAAAUUAACCAUCAUAAUUAGCUAGAUUUACAUGUUUUUAUAUUGAAAAAAACACUAUGGGAACUAUUUUAAAAGCACAAAAUUAUUUUUCUAUUAAUUUCUAUGAAACCAAAAAAAAAAAUACUGUUAGUUUUCAGGAUUCUACCUGCUUAAGUACAAUCCCGGUUGUACCGUAUCUUCUCCCGGCCUAUGAAAACUGAGCACCUAAAGGUAAAGAAUUUUAGGACCACGGGAUAGACGGCCCAGAUGGUGGGCCCUGCUGAUCGUACGGCUGCGGUCGAUCCGCAUCAUGCUGCCACGGUGGUCUUCGGUGUGCCGAGCAAUUACAACCGUUCAGAUCCUCGCAUGCGGGUGUCCGCACGAGUCUUCCACACGUGUCAGCCUCACAACACGCGAUGCGCAAAAUUUAAUUACAGUAGAGAACUGUAAAUUUGGACUCAUUUGCACAGUUUUUUGUUUUUUUUUGUUUUUAAGUUGUGUGCUGCGCAUACACUUUCAAUUUUAGGACAUAAUGAUUUUGAAUUUUAUUGUUGACUUUUACAAAUUUUAUUUUUAAUAAAUUGAAUGGUUUAAUACAAAUUUCUAUUGACGUAGAUAAACUCACUUAUUUUAUUUUAUUUUUACUAAAAAUUGUAAAAAAUAAAUAAAUCAUAAGAUCAUAUGUACAAGAUUUACACCCUCUAAUAUUGGAGACGUACGAACUAUCUAGUAGAACUGCCCUACAGUGUAAAUACGAAUAUACCGUAACAUUUUCUUUUUUUUUUCAAAUAAUGAUAAGAUAUAAUCCUAACAACGAGGUCAAAUUAGUGACACAACUCUUUUUUGAUUUACACUGACAUAAUUGACAUCAAGAAAUGAAUAAGUAGUAUAAUCACUCGCAUUAAAAGCAAAAAUCGAAAGUCAGAAACUGUAAAAACCAAACAUAGCACCUAUAACCAAAUAUAUAAUUAUACAUAAUGAAAUAAUUUUAUACAUUUUUUUUUUCUUGCUGCAAACGCUAAAUUCUUUUCCCACACAAGUUAAAUAUUUUAUUUUUUUUCAAACAAGUGAGCGACUAAACUAUUUUUUUUUCAGAAAUAACAUGUGCAAGAAUCAAACUAGUGAUAUGAUCAGCGGCUUAAAAUAUCAGCGGCUUAAAAUAUCAACCAACUGUACUGAGUAGAAAUAUUAUACCAUUUUUCAAAUUUUAUUACUCAUGAGAAAUCAAUAGGGCCUUAUGUACUACUUCAAAUAUUAAUGAUAGUAAGAUUCUUUUUAUAUGAUAUUAUAUAUAUAUAUAUAUAUAUAUAUGUGCUCUCUCAUCCACACAACGUGAUAAUUGAACACUGCUGCUACUGUACGUUACGAAUCACGCAAUGUACGUUUCCACGAACAAGUUUGUCAUUUCACUUUGGAGGGCAAUUUCGUCAUUUGAGAACUCGAGGGGGUGUGGGCCCCAUCUUCAUACAAGGACACGACACAGUCGCCACUGUGCGCCCUGCGCCACACAUGAUCAUAACCGUCCCCAAUAUCGAGACCAAAAAGAAAAUAAAUAAAUAAAUAGCGAAAAAUUAAUUAGUAAAUGAAACACACUUUAUUUUAUUUUACAUUGGUAAUUCAAAAAUAAAUUAGUAAACGAAACAUACUUUAUUUUAGGGGCAAUUUCAUUCGUACCCCUGGAAAGUUCAAAAUUAACGUAGAUGCCCUUACAUAAUUUGAAAUAUCAAAAUUGCCCCUACAAAUAUAUACUUUGUUUCAAAAAUACCCUCAAUUCAUUUUAAUCUUAGUUAUACCAUGAUAUAAUAAAGGUUAAGAAUAAAAUUAUCCAUUUUGCCCCUAAACUGUUGAGGGGCGUAUAAAUGUACGUGGUCCAUUUUUUAAAAAAUUUUCUUUAUCCAUUCAGAUUUUAAAUAUUGUAAUCAAUUAAUAAAGAAAUUCAAUUAAUAGGUAAUUAGCUAAUAAUAAUUAACUAUUAAAUGAAUUUAUGCUAGUUUCAACUGAAAAUUAGUCAAAGGUAUUAAAUUUAAUAGAAUAAUUAUCUUAAUUUGUGAAAAUUUUUCAUCAUCUAAAAUUUUUUCAAUUUAUUAUUUAAAACAAUUAUUGGUUUAUGUAAAGUCCGUUACAAGAAUUUAGUUUGUCCUUUUAUAAUAUAACUAAUUUUUUUAUUUGAAGUCAGAUUUUAUACUAAUGCUCUUAGUUGUAAUGUAUUCAUAGUAACGAAUUUUCUCUAUGUUAAGUAGUCAAAUAAAAAAAAUUAUUACUUUACAGAAUAAAAUUUAAUUUAACUAUAAUUUAUUCCCAAUAGAAAUAUUUAUUUAAUUAAAAUAAAUAAUUUUUUAAACUAAAAUCAAUUGAAUUUUACUAAAUUUUUAGUCUAGAUAGAAGUUAAUUAAUUUUGAAAUAUAAUAGAGGGUAUUUAUGAAAUAGAAUUAUUAAUUGACCAAUGAAUAAUUAAGAAGGGUAAAGUUGGAAUAUAAAUAUUAUUAACUUUAAUAUUGAUGGAGAUUUGAUGGCAAGGGUAUUUUUGAAAGUUUUUUAAAUUUGAGGGGGUAUACAUGAUAUUUCAAUUUUUAAAAGGGUAUUUAUGAAAUUAGAUGCUUUUAGAAGGUUAUAGAGGAAAUUUUCCCUUUAUUUUAUAUUGGUAAUUCAGAUAAACCCCUAACCUUUUGCGUAAUGUUUUAAAGAAACCUUUUAACUUUUUUUCUCCUCCCAUGAAUCUCCGAAUUUCUUUUUUUUUUCAAUUAAAAUUCUCAGUUCGCAUUUUAUUUUUUCAAAAAUCUUAAAAUAUUUCAUCAACAAUGAAUACUUUUCUUCUUCUAUUUUCACGAAUUAAUCAUUAUAAACCAUGUAUAAAAAUUCUUUCAACUGAACAUUCUCUGCUCUUUUUUUUAAAAAAAAAUUUGCAUACCAUAAUACCUCAAACACGGGGAGCUUACAUAAGAGAGGACAAAAAGUUAGGGACUGUCGUAAAAUUAUGAGAAGAGUAAUGGACCUCCCAAAAAAUAUUACCCUAUAUACAUUGAUGGUUCAUUUCCAUUCCAGUCCGAAUGUUUUCACCAAUCACGCGGGGGUGAUCAAUAAAAAAAAAUAUGUAAUGGAUGGAGUGUAAAAUAUACACUAUUACUCUUAUGAUUAAUAUUGUUAUUAUUGACGGGAGGAGUCGGGGCAGCGGUGGUCAGAGACGAGGGCGUGGAUGGCGGCGGAGAGGUUGUUGACGGCGGAGACGAGGGCGGCGAAGCCCUGGCGGCGGGUGUCGGCGCGCUGCUCCUGGAAGCGGAGGCGGCGCUCCUCCAGCGCCACCAGCUCCUGGUGCCGCCGCUCCCGCUUCUCCUCGCACGCCACCAGCGUGCGCGCCAGCACCGUCGCGCUCCGCACCACGCUCGACCCCACCCGCUUCAUCACCUGCCGCCGCCGCCGCCGCCGCCGCCGCCGCUGCCGCUUUCGCUCCGGCUCAUCCGCCUCCCCCCCAGACUCCCCCUCCGUCGACGACUCCGACUCCGACUCCGACUCCGACUCCCACGACGACUCCGACGCCUCCACUGCACAGUGCCCCAAUCAAAAAAUAAUAAAUUUUGCAAUGCUCAACAGUUACAUGCAAGUAAAAUCACAACGCAACUAAUAGUCACCUACACUACACAGAAUCCUGAUCAAAUAAUGGAGAAUUUUGGUGAUGUUCGCUUACAAUUACGUGCAAGCAAAAUCAUAACAUAACAUCUGUGCGAUUUGAAGUGCUGGUUGAUUGAACAGAGUGUGUUCCGCGUAUUCAAAUUAAACAUAAGCAUGCAAUUCCGAGACCACGGUAUUUCGCUCAAAUAAUCACUAACUUUCACGUAGUUCUAAACAAAUAACUCAGAAUUUUGCUACGUCCUCCUACAAUUACGUGCAAGCAAAAUCAUAGCAUAACGUGCGAUUUGAAGAGCUCUUUGGUUAAACUGCGUGGUAUUCCAUGCAUAUUGUAAUUUUACAUAAUUCUGAAGACGCCAUAUUAAUUUUUUCUUAAAUAAUUACUAAUAGCCAAUAGUAAGUUUAAUAAAAUGGCGAUUUUAUAAUGUUGCCAGAGAAUAGUUAGAGUGGUAAAUAUGCACAGAGACCCCUUAACUAUAUAAUAAUAUAGAAUUGAGAUGGUCACUCAACAUUAUAUUUCUUUUGCUAUGGUGAUUAGAUGUCUUAAUGCAGAAUAUGAUGUUGGAAAUUUUGAGCCCAUAUGAGAGUUUAAAUUUGAGAUUCACGUUUAAAAAAGCAAUUGGAUAAUACGCUGCUCGGCGAAAUCACAUCAGAAAUAAAAAAAGCUUUUUAUUAUUUUUAAAAUGUAUAUAUUUUUUAGCUAGUGGAAGUGAGACUUUGUUUUAUUAUUAAAUUUACAACAAUUUUUGUUGGAUUAAGUAAAACUUUUAUUUUAUUUGACUAUAAAUUAUAUAUACUAAUAAAAUUACAAGUUAUUCCAAAAUUCCAAAAUAGCCAGUAGUUGAUGGAGUAUUAUUCGUACAUUUUUAACUUAUAGAGAAAUGAGACCUUGGCUAAAAUAAUAUUUUUAGGAUAAGGAGUUUAAAAAGGAGCGCUUUUGUAGCUUUAUAGGAGUGGUAGUAUUUUAAAAUGAGAAAUUAUGGUAUAGGAGUUAAAGAGGAAAAAGUUUGGUUGUACGAUAAGCCUAUAUAUUAAAAAUUGUAUUGAAAUCUGAUUCGUUCCUUUCCCCGUUUCUUUUAUUCGUUCCAUUGAAAGCUUAUGCAUGCAACAACAGCUUUAUUUAAAAGCCAUAAUACUUUAUUAUAAUAUUCCUUUUUAUUUAAUUGAGGAAUAAAUGGAGGAUGAAACAGUGGAUCAGAGAUUACGAUUUGUAUAAUGAUCACACACAACCGUUACUUUCAGUUUGUUUUAUUUUAUUUUAUUUUAUUUUCCUAAUCCUCGUGACCUUUUUCGCUGUUAGUGAAGUUUAUGGAUGGGUGCUUCCACAUUUCCGACUAUUAACUUGGUCCCAGUAAUAUUUUUUUAUUUGGUACAAUUUAAUUUUAAACGAUAAUUAAAACUAAACUUAAGAUUUAACGAAUGUUUUUUCCCCCCUGCAAAAUAACUACACUAAAAGUCAUUUAAAUAAAGUCGAUGUUAUCCAAAAAUAUUGAUCUAUAGUGACUUGGGAAAAUAUUAAUUUUAACACUUGACUAAGGGGGCUUGAGAGUGGUUUGAAUCAUUUUUAUGAUACAUUUAAGAUGGAAGUAUAGGGACGUAAGUUGCAAAUUUUGGAUAAUACACGGGCUAUGCAUGCAAAUGUAACCUCCCCCCUCCCGUUUUUGCUUUGCUUUUAACAUGGAGACAAAUGGAUGUAAUAAUUACGUGCAUUGAUCGAUUAAGAGGCCGUAGAGAUCGUACCGGAAACGGACGCCUGCGGCAGCGGAGGAGGAGGAGGAGGAGGAGGAGGAGGAGGAGGCGGCGGCGGCGGAGGGUCGGCCGGCGGCGGAAGCUGCGGCGGCGGAGCGCGGGACGAGAGGGGCGCAGCGGCGGAGGCUCCGGCGCCGCCGCGGCGGGCGGCGCGGCGAGCGAGGACGUCGGUGAGCGCGUCGAAGACCUCGGCGGCGAGGUUGGUGGGGAGGUUCCGCUCCUUGCGCUCGUGGCGCUCCAUGGCCCAGUAGGACGCGGCGGAGGCGGGGGCGGGGGCGGAGGAGGAGGAGGACGCGGCGGCGGAGGCGGAGGCGGAGGCGGAGGCGGAGGCGCGGGACUCGUAGUCGCGGACCUUCUUGUAGUCGCGGAGGAGGUUGUCCCACUUGUCGUUGCACUGGUUCUGGCUCCGGAGGCACCCGUGGUUCCAGCAGUAGUUCUCGACCCACUUCCACCUCUGCUCCGCCGAGCGCGGGGCCCCCGCCGCCGCCGCCCCCCCGCCGCCGACGAGGGGGCGCCCCCCCGGCGGGCGCCGCUCCCCGGCGCGGCGCUCGUCGUCGAGGCGCUUGGCAGGUGAUGAGGAUGAGCGUCUCGUGAGGGUCAGUUUCCUUGCGGUAGUCGCGGGGGAGGAUAGAGGCCGGGGAGGCGAGGACGCGAGGUUCGCGGCGCGGCGGCGGCGGGGCGGAGUGGAGGUGGAGGUGGAGGUGGGUUUGCGGUGGUGAGUGGUGGUAGGUGGUGGUGGGGGUGGGGGUGGUGGGGGAGGAGAGCUAAGGGAGAGGAGUCCGAGGGCUCGGAGGACAUGGUUUUUUGGGCAUUGGGGAACAGGACACAGAAUAGGGAGGAAGUAGAGAAUAGAGAGGGUGGGGAUUUGAUUAUAUGCCAUUUUUAUAUUUAUUAUUAUAUUAUAUUAUAUUAUUACUAUUAUGUUUAUUCAUUAUCGUAUCGAAAUAUCUAUAAUUUAUAUAUAAUAAUAACUACUAUAUUUGGGGGAUGGGAGUAAUAAGUGUGAGGGGAAGGGGCCAACCAGUAAAAGGCAGAGGAGUACGGUGUUAUAGUAGCAGCUAGGGAAAUGGAGAUAUUGUUAUCCAUUGCACCGAGUGUAUUCUUAUGGCUCAUGCACCGAGUGUAUUCUCAUGCAUCAACAUCUUAUUUGCACUUUUUAAGCGACAAAGACGAAUGACGAUUAGAUCCUCUCAGUGCCAUGUAAGAAAUAAUCUUGGAGGCGAAAUAUAUACUUAUCCUAAUAGACUUUGACUGAUACUUCGUACUUCACAAGACAUUAAAAAUUAAAAAUCUAGAUUGGGGUAACUUACAGAAAUUCGACAUGCGGUACAGAUAGAUUCUUAGUUUAAUCUCAUAUAUGUUUUUCCGUGCGUGGUGGACCGGGCGCAUGCAAUAGACAAUCGUAACAGGGGGAACGUGACACAGGAGGAAUGGUUAGUACAAUUGUUUUUUUCUUUCUUGCUGAUUUUAAUAUUUUUUUGUCACGACAUAAAUACCAUUAAAUAUUUUUAGCUUCUGUUACCUCAGCUGCAUAAAUAAGCCCGAUAAGUAACAGGCCCGUUUGGCCCGUUUUGAUAUUUAGAAUUCUAAAAAACUUGGGCGCGCAUAUUCAAAUCAAUUCAAAAACAUAAGCUGAUAGGUGAAGAUACAUUCUCCAAUAUAUGCAGAUUUAAAUUUUAUCUUAUGUUUAGUAUAGAACGAUUAUUCUUAACAUAGAAAAUGUUUUUUGAAAAAACAUUGUUUACAAACUUGAUAUGUUCUGAAUGCUAAAUUUAUGAUGAAAACACAAUUCGGGUUCGAUAUCAAUGGAAUUGGCAUGUUGAUAGGUCCAUACCCAUCACUUUCGAAUGAUCUAUAAAUUGCUAAAUUUCUCCUCUUUUUUUUUUGGAGCCAUUUUUUACUCGUUAAGUUUUUACUAUGGUGAAAAAUGGUUGCUAGGUAAUUACUGUGCUUGUUAAGGACUUGUGUGCAAAAAAUUAGGCAAAAAAAAUCGGGGAGUUUGGACAUACGUUACGGUGAUGAAAAUGAAGGUGAAUUAAAACGUGCGACGUUUUUUAGAUCCUUGAACCUACAACAAUAUUUAAUGGGUGCUAAAACUAUGAUAUUACAUUUCUCUCUAUCACAUAAAAAAAAAAAACCAUUUUUCAUGGAAGAAAUAAAAGCAAUUUGCGUGUGCUAAAAACGGUCUCUUGUAAUCGGAAAGGUCUUGGAGUUAAGUAGGUUUUGGAAUUGCUACUGAAGCGGUUAGCAGAACCCGUUUUGUGGAAUGGGACAAAUUCAAAUGAAAAAGCAUGGUUGGAAAAUUAUGUUUCCGAAUUGAUUUUGUUUGAUGUAGAUAGGACGUAGAGUGUUUGACAUGCCCGUUAGUAUUUUUUUCACUACUGUGAAUUUCAUAAAAAUACAAAUAGCGUCGAAAAAAUAAUAUUAUUAUUUUAACAUAUAUGAAGAUCAAAUUAAUGUAAAAUAUGAUUGUAGUAGUAAGUAAGAUGCUUGAAUAUGGAGUUAAUGAGCGACCACGUACAACAAUGGAGCUAUGGAGAGACUAUCAAAUCAAUAAAAGAUCAUGCAUUCUACUUAAUAAUGGAUAAUGAUAAUGAUUCAUAAUUCUAUGUGCUUAUUGGAAAAAUAAUUUUCUAUUAAAAUAAAAAAAUAAUAUAUUUUUUAAAUUAAAAAAAAUGCUCUUUUCAAAAAGAUUGGAGGUGCGGGGAAUCGAACCCCGUGCCUCUCGCAUGCGAAGCGAGCGCUCUACCAUAUGAGCUACACCCCCGUUUGUGAUGAGUAUUUCAUUUCAUUCUAUGAUAUUACGUGAAACAGGUGCACUGUUACUAUUUGUACGCACUUAUUUGUACGAGUCCAUUGAUUUUUCUGCGCCAUUGAUUUUUAGAUUCAUUUUCAAAAUUUAUGAGUGUCAUGUUACACCCACAAGAUUUUGUGAAAAUCAUAUUCAUUGGAUGAAAUUUUUUAUUUAGCAUUAGUCAUUAAAUAUUAUGUGCGGUGCACGGGAGAUGCUUGGUACACUGGGUGCAGGGAAUAUCCUCUCAUAAAAACCCCUCCUAGGUUCCCUCGUCCGUUUAAAAACCAGUCGAGGGCUCGACACUCGACUCCUCUCCAUUUCUAUCUCUCUCUCUCUCUCCUCAUCGAAACCCUAAUCCCUUUCUCCCAUGGCGCAUUCCCAUUUCGCCCCUUUCCCUAGGGUUUCCUCUCCCAAGAUCUCUCCCCCUUUCUCAAUCGCUUAUAAGGAUUAGGGUUUUUACCGUUCUUGGGGUUUCCAAAUUUCUCAUCUUUGUCGUUGGAGGGAGAUCUUGCGAUGGCCCCGCCCCGAGAAACCUACCACCACAUCAAAGUAUCCAUCGAGAGCUCCCCCGGCCUCCCAAUAUCCACCCAGAGUACGCGAUCGAAGCUCACAACAUCCGAAGACGCUCGUCGCCGCCUCCAAGAUCAGAUCUGUGCCUUUGAGGAUCGCCUCCGCGAGGAUACCAAGCGAUUGGAGUUCUGUACGGUUUGAUUUUGUCCCCUCUUGUCUCUUUUCUCCUUGGCAAGGGUUUUCUUUUCACAUUGGUGAAUUAGGGUUUUCCAUGUUGGGGAAUGGGCAGAGGCGAGUAUGAACGCGAAUGGUUUGAAGAGGUGCGUCGAGGAGGAGGAGGCUUUGGCGUCGACAUGCAAUGAUAUGGAGACUCACUCCGCUGUACGAGCAGGAUGUUAACAGGGUCGUGGAGUCGUAUGAUGAAUUGGCGAAGGAGAACGACGAUCUUCGAGCGCAUCCGCAGGAUAACUUGCAUGUAAGUGUUGUUAUUUGAAUCAAUUUUUGAAUUGAUGGCAAAAGAGUUUUAUUUCUUAAAUGAUGAUACUUUGGAUUCCUUAGUGAGAUGUUAAGUGUCAUCUUCUUAUCAAAUAUAUUGGAAUUAGGUCAUAUAAUUGGUGUUGAGUGAUGCUCAUGUUAUGAAACAUAUUACUAGUUUCUUGAGGACAUAAGGACAAACCUUGUUCUUGUAGGUGGCAUCUUUUUUGGUUUCAUAUUUCUGAUGGGAUAAUAAUUUUAUUAACUUAAUAUAUUAGCUUGAUUAGUCAACUUGAUGCCAUCGAGAGAAAGUUUUGAUGAUGAUGAUGAUGCAAUUGAGAGAAUUUUGAUGAGUGAUGAUUGACGAUUGAUGAUUGAUGAUGAUGAUGGAGGCAAUCCUUCCUCUUUUAUCCAUUUCUUUUUCUAUGCAUUUCUUUGGAUCUGAAUCUACUAUAGAAAGGAUAGAGAGAAGAUGAGUUUAUAUAUUUGAAUCUUCGACUACUAUUUGAGCUGGUUUUAGGUAUUGGUAUAGCUUCUUUUGCUCAACUGUACAAAUUUGUCUGAAAUAUGAAAGAUCUGAGAAGAAUUAUUUGUAGAUGUGUAAUCCUUAUCUCGGAUAUACAUAUGAAAUUGCAGAAAGGUUGCCAUAUUAUUGUCGCGUUCUUUUACUGAUUUUAUUAGAGAACAUCUUUCAAUAUACGAGUCCAUAAUUUGUUAUGAAGAGGAUAUAGGCAUUUGUUAUGAAGAAGAUAUAGGCAAUAGUUUUCACUAGUUUUUGAAAUUUUGUGUCGGUAUUGUUUAAGGAGUAAGUUGGUUAUUUUUGUGAUCGUACAUGCUCGUCGUAGUUGUUUCUGAAAGGAAUAAGAAAGGAUUGACAUGUGUGGGUGCAAGGAGAUGGAAAGAGGUCUGGGCUUCCAUGGAAAUGUUAGUUGUAAGCCCAUGGAAAUGUUACUUACUUGGAAAGGUUGUUGAUGUAUUACACCAAUCAGGUUCACACAGCAAAAAUUGUCGUUUUGAUGCUUUCUUCCCAUGAAAUGUUUGAGUGGUAGAAUAUUAAAGCUUAUUGAUUGUUAUGGUUCUAGAACAAAAGCAGCGGAAGCGCUUGUCUUUUGGCGUCAACCAUAGUUUCGACAUUCACAAAUUCAAGGGCUUAUAGAGCCUAGGUACAAGGUGUAAGGCAGAAGGCAUGCGCUUGAGGAAGACAAGGGACACACUUUUCACAAAUUUUGUUUUAAAAAAAAAUCUCAUUAAAAGACCUAUACAUCCUGAACAAAUAACAUGCAUAAUUCAGAAAGAUAACAUUGUUUUUACAAUAAACAAAUAAAUCUGGUGAUGGAAAUUGUUUAUCAAGAAUAUUUAAAACCACAAAAAGAUCCCAAGUGUGCAUCUUGGUUAUGUAUAUAAACACCCGAAACAUGCAUAUAUGGUUUCUGAAUCCUUUUACAGAAAUAUCCGAAACCUUCUUUUGAAAUUCGAAGCCUUUGUCUUACCUAACCAGAUUUAGUUGAUGCCUUGGGCCUAGGGUGAGGGGCAUAUUUAGGCCGCAUGGUGCUAGGCUUGAUUCCUUUAGCCUAGGUGCUGAGGCGUGUCCCUAUAAAUGCAACUCUUCAAAGUUCAAACUACAAGAUCAACUCAAAGCGAAAUUUCAGCAGCCUGUUGGAGUAAUAGCUAAGGGACUCUGUGGGACAUUUUUAUAUAUUGAUAUUGCAUCAUUUAAUUAUGGCAUUGUACAUUCUUCUGUCACAUCUCUGUUAUUGGUUAUUACCUACAUCUUACUUUGUAAAGGGCCAAUAGGAGGUUGUUAUUUUUACUAAGAUCACCAGUUAAAUAUUCAUGUAUCUUAUUUACACUUGGUGCCGUACAAAUGCUAUAUCGGCUGAACACCAAUAUAGACGUCUUUUAUCUCGAGAGUUGACACACCAAUGGGCAGAGAGAAACUCAGAUGUGCAAGGAUAUGUAACUAGAGUAACCUAUGUUUAGUCUAAUGUGUAAGAAUAGUUUUGGUAGUGGAUGUUACCUUGACAGACAAUGAGAAAUGGUUGAGAUUUGAAGGAUAACCGUUUUCUUCAACAACUUUUCGGGUUUAUGCCUAAUAUACAACACGAGCAUCAUGCCUUUAUUUAGAUAAUUUAUGUGGUUGCUUUUCCAUUAGGUCCCCAACUGGUAGCUUGUCCGGCGAUCUCCAUUGUGCUGUUAAAGAAUGGUCUCUUGUUACUCAUCAUGUUUAGCUUAUUUAUGCUUAAGUGUCUCUCUUUUAACUUGGUAAGCAACUAUACACAGCAAACUUCCAUAUUAUUAUUUUAUUAAAUCUCAAAAGUCUACAAUUGAUUAAUCAAUAUGAUUACAUAUUAUGUAUAUAUAAUUUCCACAGAACUAAAGGAUUGUGGCCAACGAAAACUGAAAAGGAUCUUCUGACAAGUCCUGCCAAUCCUUUUUUUAAAUUCAAUUCACAAUGGGGACUAGCAAUAUUACACAUUGGCUCAUGUAGUAGUGUUUUGACGCGUUCAAUGAAAGAUCAAUUCUUUGGAAUCUUUCCUUUCAUUAGAUUGGCAGUCAAAUGCCUUUUCUGAACAUAAAUGUUCAUCGUUGCAAAACAUGAGGUCAUCUGCUAUUUGAAGACAAGAAUUUUUUUGAUAACCUAAAAUACCUAUUUGGUUUUUCCUCCAUUGGAUGAUCAGAACUUCUUGGACUGGCUGGGUACUAUAGAGAAGUCCAGUAGAGAGGAAAUUUUUGAAGGAAAAAAGACAUUAAAAAGAGAAGCAUUUUUUCAUUGUUCUCUGUAUUUUUUUUUUUUUUUUCAUUUCUUCGAAGAAAAGUAACCUACUCUUUGUCAUGCUUUGUGUUGUUGUUGUUUCAAUUGUUGCUUAUUAAUAUUUGCAUUAUAUUCUUUUGAAGUCGCCGACAAAUAUUGCAGCUGACGGCGCGAGCUUCUGAAGUAGAAUCCUUGCAGAAGGACAAGGAAAUUGUGCUGGUUACUCUCCACAAAGCGGAAGAGGAGGUAAGCAUGAUUCUUUUUUUUUGAGAGCUAGGUAGCAUGCUACCCGCUUCGUUUAUUUCAUUUAGAAAUAAACUUAGCUAGAAAUGUGAAUCAGUUAUGAUUCGAACUUGGGACCUCGGGUACCAACCACCAAGCCUUUUGCCACUUGCGCUAGGGAUGGUCGUUAGGUAAGCAUAAUUCUUAACUUUUGCUUUUUUAUGUGCCACAUAUUAAACAUGUUCUUCUGCAAUACUCGAAGGUGGUGGUUCUGUUUGAAGAAAACAGAUUUCUGAAUGAAGAGAACAAGACAUUGCUGCUGCUUUUGGAAAGUAAGAGGCUUCUCAGAUCGUCUGACAGCAAAAACUCUAGUAGUGCCUCAGUUAAAGUAAGCAAGUACAAAAUCCUCUUAAUGUUCAAGUUUUGGCUGCUUAUGAAUUUGAACCAUCACUUCCUGAACUUUGCCGUCAAGUUUCAUUUUAGGGUGCGUUUGGUUCGCGUUAUCUUUUUAAGAUUCCUAGUAAUCUAAUAGGAAUAACAAAAUAUGACGGUGUUUGGCUAAACGCACUAAAUAAUCUAGUUGAUAAUAUUAGAUUAACUUGGGAAUGAGAUUCAUCCCAAAGUACUAAUUUCAUUUCCUUGAGGAAGGGUGAGUAUCUUCAUAUUAAUGAAUUCGGAUAAUCAUAAUAUGUCUAAUCUCUUUCUUUCUUUCUAUUCGCCGGUUAGUUGGUAUUAUUUUUCUUUACACUCUAACUUCAUCUCUCUCUAAACUUAUCUUUUUCUCUCUAAACUUUAACUUUUUUUCUCUCUAAACUAAGCUCUCCCUUUUUUUUUCCUAAAAUCUCAAUUUUCUCACUCUCUCUAAUCUCGACUCUAUUUCUCUUCUUAUUUUUUUAAUUUUGCUUUCUCUCUCUAACCUAUGUUCUCUCAUUUUUUUUCUAAAAAAAUGUUAAAAUUUUUUAUAACAUUAUCUAAAAUUAAAUAAAUAAAUAAAUAGUAUAUUUUUUUUGUAUCUUAAAUAACAUGAUUAAAUAAUAUGACCGUACGAACCAAACACAGUAAUACCACAAUCUUAGUAAUAGGAUGAAUAUGAAUAAGAUUUUCGGACAUCUUUUUGUUCUUAGUAAUAUUUUAUAGUGCAAACCAAACACGCCCUUAGUCUAAUCAAGUAGGAAAAUUAUUGUCUGCACCUGUUGCAUCUGCACAACCGCAUGUCACCCAUGCAUCAAACCUCAAUCUCCUCUCAUAUUGUGAUCUCUGCCCCACUGUGGCAGCCAUUUCUCUUUGUAAAUUUGGCUGUUUGCUGAAUCGAAAGUAGAAAUGGAUAGAGAGCCUGUUUGUGGUACAAAGAUGUGCAUAAUGCACACGGUGCAAUUUCCUCUAAAAGCUUGGGGUAUUGAAUGACCAAUUCAGGAGUUUUGAGUUUCAAAAUGAAACUUGACUAAGAAAUUUGGAGAGUGGGAGGGCGAUUUUACCCUUUUAAAAAUAAAAUGUUGGCAUUGUUGUUAAACAUUUUUAAGAGCACUACUAAUUAUUAUGUAAUGAAACACCGAAGCAUUGUCGUUCGUCGACGUACGCAGGGAAAACGUAAAGCAAGCCUCAGGGACAACAGUCCAACCGGUGGGGCGACUGAUUUUUCCUAUGCAAGUUCCUCAAGAGAGAGCCUUUGUCAUCGAAAUCUACAAUGCUGCACAAGUGAAACGGUGUAAUAUUCUCUUCUUUACUCUCUCUCUCUCUCUCUCUCUCUCUCUCUCUCUCUCCCUUAAAAAAAAAUAAAAUAAAAUAAAAAAAAAAAACCUCAUGGCUGCUUGCCAAAGUGAUUUCAUUUAGUCAGGGGUGUAAAUGUGGUGCCAAGGUUGUAUUUUUUUUUUUUUUUUUUUGGCCCUUUAUUUUCUUUCACUUUGCGAGCAGGAUUUAAACUUGAAAGAGUCCUGCUACGGGUCUACAGGAGUGGUGGUGCCCUCAGGAAAUGUUUGAUGUGCAGGCAUGCAUGAUUUAAAGGUUUUUUAAUUGCUUGGCCCCUAAUUGGCUGGAGGCGCUGCAUGGGCUAACCAACACAUCAAAAAUCCGUAUUAGACCUUUUGUAGUUUUGUGCGAAACCCAAAACAUUUUUCCACCUGAAAAUACUGAAACAAUAGUUUCGAAAGCCAGAUCACCAUUCUUGCACCAUUUCCGACUCAUAGAUGAAUACUACUGAGUUUGUGAUGUCACUAAUAAUGGCAAGAGCACCAUUUUGGUGUUAAUAAUAGUCAUAUAAGUUCGUGAUUUAUAAUUUAAAUAAAUAUAUUAUCGUAAGAUGUUAAUGAUUAGUUGUUAUUUGUUCAAUCACUGAAUCCAUUUAAAAUAAAUCCUUCAGCUGCGCUGGUAAUGUGAAUUAAAUUUUGAUACUUUUAGUUUAAAAUAAAUAAAUUUAAACUAAAAGUGUUAAAAUUUAAUUCACAUUUAAUUUUCAAUAUCAAACUCCCUCUUUUAAAUGAAAAUAAUUAAAAAAAAAUGCCAACUUGCAUAAAAAAUUUAUUAGCUUUUAAUUUUUGCAAAAGUAAGCCGUCUUUUUUAUUUUGCAAAUUCGAUUCAGAUUUUUAAAAAUUUGAUUAAAAUGUUUUUAAUUUUUUUUCUCGUUUUUUUUUCUUUCUCUUUGAAGAGGGCGGUGAAAGCGGAAGCGGCCUGCUUCGCCUUUGCCCCCGCCCCCGCCCCCGUCCUCGCCCUCGCCCUCGCCCUCGCCCUCGCCCUCGUUUGUGCACCCUCUUUUCGCAUUCCUUGCCUUCGACCUUGACUGCAUCUCGACAGGCGAGGAAGGCGGAGGGAGGUGUGCGGGUGAGGGCGAGUGCGCGUGAGAUAGAGACGAGGUAGGCCGCCUCUGCCUUCGCUUUUGCUUUCGCCUCCUCCUCCGAGAGAAAGAAAGAAAAAAAAGAACGAGAGAAAAAAAGAAAAAAUAGUAUUUUGAAAAUUAGGUUUGAAUCUACAAUAUAUAAAAAGACAGUUUACUUUUGUAAAAGUUCAAACUAAUAAAUUUUUUAUACAAAUUAGUCAAAAGAAAACCAAACUCCCCCUUUUAUAAGUUGUGUGUAUAUAUUCAUACAUAUUGAUAUUAAAUGUCUAUUCUAGUAGAGUCAAAUUAAUAUAAAUUUAUGUAUCAUAUUUAUCUAAAAAUUUAUGAUAAAAAUUUAAAUUUAAAAAAUAAAUUUAUAUAUUAAAUUCUAUUAAAAAAAUUUGUCAUAUUUAAAUUCAAAUUUAAAUAUUUAUUGCCAAUAAUAAUUAUAUUGUUCUAUUUUUUAUUUUAUAAAAUAUAAGUUUAGAUCAUUAACUAAAUUUAAUUUUGAAUAUCAAAUUUCAAUUAACAAUUACAAAGUUUUAUUUAAAGUGGAUCAAACUUAAAUUCAUAUUUUUAGUUUACAACAUAUACUUAAUUUUUGACCUCGACAAAAAUAAAAAAAAUACAAAAAUAUACAAUAUAUAGUUAAAUUUUAACUAUAAAUUUAAGUUAAAUAAAUUUUUAAAUAUAUAUUUAUUUUUUAGUUUAUGUGAUUUAAAGUUUUAUUUUAUAUUAAAUUCGAAGUUAAAAUUUAAUUAUAAAUUGAAUAUUUUUGUAUAUUUUUAAAAGUUUGAGGAACUCAAAAUUUAAGUACGUAUCUUAAAUUAAAUUAAAACUAUCAAAAUUUUAAUGCACCUUUAAUUCAAAAUUCAAAAUUUAAAAUUAAUUUAUUUUAACUAAAAUAUUUUAAAUAUUAAAUUAAAUUUGAUUUUCAAAAAUUAAAUUUAAUUUAUGAUUUAAAUUGAAAUUUUAUAAAAUAAAAAAUAAAAUUAUGUUAUUACUGUCACCAAUAAUUAUUUAAAUUUGCGUUAGAAUAUGACAGAUAAUUUAUAAUAGAUUAUAAUAAAUAAAUUUAUUUUUUUAAUUAAUUUUUUUAUUCUAAAUUUUUGGAUAAAUAUAAUGCACAAAUUUAUAUUAUUUUGAGAUAACUUUUAGGAUAUUAAUUUGAAAUAACUAUUAAGCCGUUUUCGAUAAUGAAAUUUUCGAAUCGGCGAUCAGCUCUGUUAUACUUGAUUUAGCGUAUUCUAAAUAUUUAGAAAAUAAAUUUUAUGAUUCUUUAAUAUUUUUUACCUAGUGAUUAGAAAUAUUGAUCUUGUUACAAAUAGUAUAAAUUAUGUAAUUAUUAGGGUAUUAUUUAUCUAGUGAUCGAAAUGACUAAAAAUGAUGGACGACUAAAAAUAAAAAUCUCAUAAAAAAUUAUGAUAUAGUACAAAUUUUCAAUCAGAGAUAUUGAGAGAUAUUGAUCUUAUUGUAGAUAGAAUAAAAAAUUUUCUAUCAAUUUUUUUUUUAAUUUGAAUACUUUUAUACUGUUAAUAUAUGAUAUAAAUUUUUUUGAUCAAUAGAUAAAUUAUAUCAAAAAAAUUACAAAAUUAGUUUUUUAUGUCCUUCAAAUAUAUUAGAUCAAGUCUAACGGAAUCGAUUGUUGAUUCGAAAAUUCUAUUAUCAAAAAUGGUUUGGAAAUAAGGAGGCCUAUGUGCUCUUAAUAGCAAACUAGUCCUACUAUAUAUAUGCAUGGCUACUGUACUAUUAAGAGCAGAACAUUUAAUUUCUCCCCAAUUUUUUUUUCUCUCUCAUCUUAUCCAUCAAAAUUGAUGGAUGGCUAGAAAGAUAGAAGUACAAGGACUGCUGUGCUCUUAAUAGCAUAAUAGUCGUUAAUCUCUCAAAAUUUUUUCUCUCAUCCUAACUACCCAUCAAAAUUGAUGAAUGGUUAGUAAAUUAGGAGCACAAUAACUGCUGUUCUCUUAAUAGCACAGUAGCCUUACUCAUAGAGAGAGAGAGAGAGAGAGUAAAUCUUGCAUGCUACUAGGAGCACGGAGUCUUUCGUGCUCCUGAACCGUUUUCGAUGAUAGAGCUUUCAUAUCGACAAUCGGUUCGUUAGAUUUGAUCUAGCGUAUUUAAUAUAUCUAGAAAAUAAAUUUUAUGAUUUUUCGAUAUCAUUUAUCUAGCGAUCGAAAGGUUUCAAAAUGAAUAAUUUUUAAUGGUUGAUAUAUAUCAAUUUUUUUUAUGAAAUUUUUAUUUUCAGUUAUUAAUUUUGAACCUUUUCGAUCGCUAGGUAACGAUAUAAAGUUUAUUUUUUAAAUAUUUCAAUUAUGCUAGAUCAAAUCUAGCAUAAUAGCACACAAGAUCUACUCUCUCUCUCUCUCUCUCUCUCUCUCUCUCUCUCUCUCUCUCUCUAUAUAUAUAUAUAUAUAUAUAUAUAGUAUAUGUAGUUGAGCUACUAUUCUAUCGAAGCACGGACCUUCCGUACUUCCAGCCGUUUCGAUGUUGGCGACUUUCGAAUCGUCGAUCGGCUCCGUUAAACUUGAUCUAGAGUAUUUAGAAUACCUAGAAAAUAAAUUUUAUUAUUUUUUCGAUAUCAUAUUCGCUAGUGAUCGAAUGGGCUCAAAAUCACAAAUUUCAAUGGCCGCAGUGAGCCGUUUGCAAGUUUACGGUGUAGAAAUAUCCAAAUCACGUGAAAUUUUGAUAGAAAAUUUUUAUACUAUUUAAACAAGAUCAAUAUCUUGAUUUAAAAUUUAAUGUCAUAUUAUUCAUUUUGUAGAUUUUUUAUUUUCAGCCGUUGAUUUUGAGCCCUUCGUCAUAGGCAAUGAUAUCGUAAAAUCAUAAAAUUUAUUUUUUAGGACUUUCAAAUACUCUAGAUCAAGUUUAACGAGCAAUCGACGAUUCGAAAGUCGCAACUUAAAACAGCUGAAAGCAACGGAAGGCUACCGUGCUUCCGAUAGCAUAGUAGCCUCACUCUAAUAUAUAUAUAAUAUAUAUAUUAUAUAUAUAUAAUAUAUAUAUAUAUAUAUAUAUAUAGAGUCGGCUACUAUCUUAUUAUAGAAUUGGAGCUAUUGUCCCCUAAUCAAAUCGUUUUGAUUUAUCGAAAUUUCAAAUUGAAAUCGGCCCGUUGAAAUUGAUUACACAAUUAGAAGUAUUUAAAACGCAAAUUUUGUAAUAUUUAAAAAUAUUAUCAAUUCAUCUUAAGAGUUAAAAAUAAACGGUCGUAAUGAAUAACUUUCUUAAAAUAGAGUUAGACUUUCUCAAUUCAUAAUCAGGUUUCAAACAUUAUCUAAAUAAUAUAAAAACAUUUUUAUCAAAAAUUCAAGCAAUUUGGAUUGCUUUACACCGUUAAACAAACAAGGCUCAUACAUGCCGUCAAAAAUUGUCAAUUUUACGCAACUUUGAUCACUAUGUAAAUAAUUUUAAAAUUUAUGAAUUUAGUUUCUAGAUAUUUCAAAUACUCUAGAUCAAUUUCAACGGCUCCGAUCAUCAUUCGGAAUCUGGAUCAUCAAAAACAAUUUGAUAGGACAAGUGCUCCUAUCCUAUUAAUAGGAUAGUAAAUCUAGCAUAUAUAUAUAUAUAUGAUAUAUAUUAUAUAUAUAUAUAUAUAUAAAGCUCUAUACAUCGAAGCCGCUUUAGGAACACUUGAGUCUCUCAUGCCUAAUAGCACGCAAGCACCUUCUCCUCUCUCUCUCUCUCUCUCUCAUCUCUCUCUCUCUUCUAUAUAUAUAUAGAUAUAUAUAUAUAUAUAUAGUGAGGCUACUAUGCUAUCGGAAGGCACGGAGCCUUCGUGCUUCAGUUCGUUUUCGAUGUUUGCAACUUUUGAAUCACGUCGCGCUCCGUUAAACUUGAUCUAAGUAUUUGAAGUACUUAAGAAAAUAAAUUUUAUUAUUUUCGAUAUCAUUGCUAGUGAUCGAAUGGGCUCAAAAUCAACAAAUUUCAAUGGUCGUAGUGAGCGUUUGCAAUUUAACGGUGUAGAAAUAUCCAAAUCAGUGAAAUUUUGAUAGAAAAUUCUUUAUACUAUAUAAAACAAAAUCAAUAUCUUUGAUUUAAAAUUUUAAUGUCUAUUAUCACAUUUGUAAGAUUUUUAUUUUCACCGUUGAUUUUAAAACCCCUUCGUUCACUAGGCAAAUGAUAUCGUAAAAUCAUAAAAUUUUUAUUUUCUAGUACUUCAAUAUCUAGAUCAAGUUUAACGAGCGAUCGCGAUUGAAAGUUGCAACAUAAGAAAAUGAAGUUGGAGCCACGGAAGGCUCGCGUGCUUCGAUAGCAUAAAGCCUCAUACUCAAUAUAUAUAUUAGUAUCAUUACUUAUAUUUAUAAUAUAUAUAUUCAUAGUAAGUACAAGCGGUCUGAUUUUUCAUCGGAAGUUCCGCUUAGGAACACGUUAGAGUCCUGCAUGCUCGCUAAUAGCACGCAGAAGAACCUCUCUCUCUCUCCUCCUCUCCCUCGGGUCUCUCUCUCUCUCACUAGUAUAAUAUAGAUAUGUAUAUUAGUACAGGUAUUAUAUAGUGAGGCUACUAUGCUUAUCGGAAGACACGGAGCCUUCGCGUGCUUCCAGUUGCAGUGUUUCGAUGUUGCAGACUUGUUGAAGUUCGACGAUCCAGGGCUCCUGGUUAAAACUCGCGACUCCAAUAGAGGAUUGAAAAGGUUCCGUAGGAGAAGAGUUAUAGAUGUUGGAUUAUUUUUUCGGAUAGUCAUUCUGUCCUAGUGUAUCGGAACUGCGCGCCGUCUCAAAAUCAACAAAUUGUCCAGAUGGUGUGCAGUAGGAGGUUUUGCAAGUUUGAACGGUUUUCGGUGUGAGGAAUAUCAAAUCACUGGUGAUAUUGUUGAUAGAAAGAUUCUCGUAUGACAGUAUAGGAAACUCUCAAAGAUUCCAAUAUCUGUUGAUUUAAAGAUGUUUAAUGUGCAUAUUAUACAUUUUGUAAGUAUUUUUGAUUUUGCAGCCGCUUGGAUUUUAGAACGCGCCUUCGGUUCACUUAAAUAAUGAGUAGUCGGUAUAAAAUCAUGAAAAGUUUAUUUGUCUUAGGUACUUUCAAGAUAGCGUGAUAGAUCCUAACGUUUAUACGUGAGGCGCGGAUCGGACGGAUUCGCAAAGCUUUGCCAACAUCGGAAGAAUGAGUGUUGGAAGGGCACGCGACAGGCUUCGGUUGCUGCCGGAAGUAGGAUUAUGAGUGCGUCACUCCGUAACUAUAGUAGGAUAUUAUAUAUAUAUAUAUAUAUAUAUAUAUAUAUAUAUGCGCCUACUAAUUGAAAAACACCUAUUUUUGACGUCAACAAGGAUUACCCCAGUAUCCACCCCUUUAAUCGGCGGCUUGGUUUCAGAUCUUAUUGAAAGAAUCGCAGUGUAGUUAGGCUUUCAUGUACAUUACACACACCUGCGUUUAACAAACACUGAUAUCCACAUACCAAUUAAGCAGCUGCGGAUUGCUUAUCAUCUGGGUCUUCCAGAUUCAAUGCUUGCAACAGCUUCGGCCAAGACUCCGGGAUGCCCCCGGGUAACUCAAACUCCAAGAGUUUCCCUCGUCUGCCGUAGAACUCCUCUACUGGCUCGCUCUGCAGGAAAAAGAAAAGAAAGAAAAAAACGAGAGGGAUUUUUUGCUUCUGAGAAAGAAUAUAUUGGAGAUUUGUAUAUGUUGGUUAAAAGUAGCCCCUAAAGAUUCAAUAUACAAGAGAAUACUGGAAAUAAUUAGAUUGCUAAAAGCUUGUCAAAUAAAUAAGACGUGAAAGCGAAAGUCAAGGCGCUAGAGGUCUAGAACAAACCACAGCAAGUAUCGGUAAUAUGAUGUGGAAGUACCCACAAUGAAAGGGUACGCUACAAAGUAGAAUACUCCGAACCAAUGGAGGUGAAAAGAACACGGCUGUUGUUUUUUCUUUCAGAAAAAAUUGUAGGUAUUUUGCCAUCAAUACCUGGUUUCAAAUAUCAGCAUCUAUUCAAAACUGCUUCUACUGAAAAAGUUGUCGUCCAAUUUGGUGAAAUGUAUUGUUCGAUACCAACAAGAGGCAGGUUAGGUUGUUCCCAAAGUAGAAUCACCAUCUGGUUAGCCAUUCUAAUCUAACCUUUAAAGCUUUGGAGAAUAUCUAAUUUGCCCCUGGUUUUCAAAAUUGACUUUUUUGUUUCCAAAUUUGCCUAAUUGCCUCUCUAAAAAAAAUGUGAGAAAGAUCUUUUUGUUACAAAUAUACGCCUGCCUUUGAGGGUUUAUUGGGGAGAUUUGAAAUUUUAGAGGGUAUUUUGAAAAUUAAAGGGUAAAUUUUGAAAAAGUGAAACAACAGUCAGGGGUAUAUAAAAAAUUGCCUCAUAUCAAAUUUAUAAACCAAGAUUGGGUACUCUGCACUUUCUAACACAAGCAACCAAGUGACUUCACAAUUACGGAACACUACCAAUAUACGCAAACUAAAUAAUUGAAACCCUCCUAUGAAGCAUUUAUGGAGGCAUAAAAAUUUGUAAAUUACUAAAUACAACACGGUUAUGAAAAGUUGAGCUAAUUUUGCAGGAAGGAGAGCAUAAGAAUCUGGAACGUACCAAAUCGUGAUACACGCGUAAUCGUUCCUUCACCACUUUUUCGGUGUCAUCUGAUCGAGUAAUGAGCUUCGACGCACAUUGUGGAGGAGGUAGAAGCGGAGCCAUGUAUAUGCCUGGCGUCCCAUUCUCGCCCUUGAUGUCAAUGGAGGCCACAUUGAAGUUCCCUCCACACUGACUGCAAAUCCUUCUCCCCAGGCACUUUGUGAGCAGCACAUCUUCUCGAAGCUUAAGGUUGAUCACCAGAUCGAUGUCAGUCACUCCCUCCAGUAUUUCCUAACAAAUCAGACACCAAGGGAUGGAAUUGGAAUGAGUAGAGCAUUUUUUAUGCAGUAAAUUUGAAACUUAAGCAGCUGCAAUUAAGUAUCUCAAUUGACAGUAAACUAGAUUUUCUGAGGGAACAGACAGUUUCCAAAGAAUUGAAGUUGAACCAUUCAUGGUAAAAUAUAGGAAACAAAAUUCAGGUUACAGAUUGUAAGCUCUGCAAUUAACAGCUAAAAAAUGGGAUUCAUGUUCUCAAAGCAUUUAUGUUAUCACUUAAUGCAAAAUUAUUUACAAUUCACCCAAUUAUUAUGCAUUCAAAAGACGGCUGUGGCUCUUGUUAUUUGUUAACAGGGGCGUUUUACCUCAAAGGAAUUCGCCCCUUGUUUUAAAUGGAAAGCUCUCUUUUUCUAUGGAUAAUACUUAGCACAAGUGACCAAAGGCUUAACGGUUGGCACCUAAGGUCUCAAGUUCAAAGCCUUAUUUCUUUACGUUUCCGCAAAUAGCAUGCUACCAUUCUCUCUCUCAAAAAAAGAAAAAAGAAAAAAGAAAAAAAGGAGAACACUCUUUUUCUAUAGGGCAAGUGCAAACAGGUGGAAUUCUGAAACAUAUGAAAUAAACUUCAAAGGUAGUAUACUUUUGCCAGCCGCUGGCGCCUAUGAAUAAAUUCUUACUCUUCAUACAAUGCAAAUUUUAAUACAGUGAAUAAAGACUCAGCAAAUUGCAAACAAAAACACCACGGAAACAAAGUAUUGUGAUGAUAUUGCGAGUCAAUGGCCGGUAAGAAUGAACAAAAGUAAAAAACUUUAUAAAACAGACUCCUGCAUUAGUAGACAGCAACAAGUAUGAUGACAUCAAUUACACAGGACAAUCAUGCACAAAAUCAGGGUCACUUAUCUUGAAGACAUCUUAUAAUGAAAACAGAUAGAAUACCAAGCUAAAUAUUAGACAAGAAGUAAAUAUUACUAUGUGUACUUACAAUCAGAACGCAUAGCUAGCUCACCGCUUGUCUUAUCGUUCGUGGAAAUCCAUCAAGAAUGAAUCCUGAUUCACCCUUAGCUUCUCCGUCUUCAAGGCGCUUCGACAAUAAGCUAAUGAUGAUCUCAUCUGAUACCAACUUGCCUUGAUUCACAAUCUCUGCCAGCUAAAGUACAAAAUAUGAAAUGAAUUAGCAUAUAUCAAAAUCAGUGCCUUCGAAGCACAUCAGAAGACGAUUCAAUACAAGCAGCAAAAAUUUCAAGUAACAUCUUCAGGAUCAGAGAAACUGCAGUGCUAUUUGGAGAAGCACUUUAUUAACAUGCCAACAAUACAUACUUAUAUUCAGGUCUAAGAAAAUACGCCCAACAAAACUUGCUUAAGAUUAGGGUAAUUUGUUUGUUUCCAAAGUGUCUUAUUCUGUAAGCAUAUCCUACUUGUUAACUUUAAAUCUCUACCAGAUAUAUGCAAAAGAAAAACCUAAUCUCGUUCCAUUUCAUUGUAAUGGUAUCGGCAAGAUCAACGUAAUGAAUCUCUAACCCUUAAUAAUUCUUGAAUCUAAAUUCUAAAGACCUACUCAUCCAAACUAGCCUCGAUAUGCCUAAUUAUACCGUAAUUUAGGAAACAGAACAGCGAAUCCCCCUUUAUCUCAUCAAACAAGAAACCCUAAAGAACACCUUAUGGAUCAAAGACACAACGGGAAAAGGCAAAGAUCGGGAGGGUACAACGAUCGUUUACCUCUUUGGCGAGGGGUCCGGACGAGGCGAGCUCUUCACGGACGAGGUCACCCGUGGCGAUGUGGGGGACGCCGAGGAGGUGGGAGAGGCGGCUCGCGUAGGUUCCCUUCCCCACGCCGGGGCACCCCAGGAACACCCACUGCACGUUCCAGCUCCUCGGAUCCCUCUUCGUCCUCCUCUCCGCUGUCUCUCCCUCGCGCCCCACGCUCGCCGCGAACGCGGCGCCUACCUCGGACGACGCCGCCGCCGCAAACCUCCGCGCCGCCGCCGCAGCCGCCGCCGCAGAGGCGGCGGCCCGGCCUCGCAUCAAGCGGUUUAGGAUCGCCAUCGCCGGAGCCGCGCGAGGGCGAGAGAGCGAGAGAGAGAGAGAUUUAGGGUUCGGCGAUGAUCGCGGAGAGGGUGGCGGGGACGAGGCGAAGAAAUGGAAUAAAAUGCGAGAAUAAAGAUGAGAAUAAGUUACUCGAGGAGGAGAACAGCGUAGGGCCGUAGCGAAUAAAUAAUGGGGAUAAAAAUAAACGAUGGGAUUUUUACUUAUUUUAUUGGGAAGGACAAUAGGAAUCUAGAAGAGAAUCCCAAUAAGAGGGUUUAAGACGGUUCCCGAAUUCAGAUGAACAACCUAUUACCCAUACAAAUUUACUCACUUUUUUUUUUUAAGAAAAAAAAACUAUACAAGACUAUUGUUUUAGGGUGACUUAUGAAUGACUUUUUUUUCUUUUUUUUUUUCAGGGACGUUAGACUUUUUUUUUUUAAUGUGAAGUAAUUAGACUUUGAGUUGGACCUCCAAUUUUAAUUAUUAAAUCUUUUAGGGAGAUUGUUGAUGUUGAUGUUGAUGUCCCGAUAAUUUUAUACAGCAUCUUUGAAUUUCUAGCUAUAUAUCUAAGUAAACCUUUCCACACUAACUAUGUAAGAAAUCCUUAACAAGCUUAACAACACUUAUGUUGAUGUAACCAUUUAUCCAGUUACAUAGGUUAUUAUUUAUUAACUGAAUUUGAUCGGAUUUAUAUAGUUACAAGUGUCAAAAUGUUAUAAUUUAAAGAAUCAGUGAGUAAAGUGUAAGGAAAAUUUUUUUGGGUUGCCGCAUAAUUAAAGAGCAGUGCUAUAUGUACAUCUAUAAAUUAAGCGUAAAUCUUACAUUUCACUAAUUUAAAUACUGCCAUAUUUUCACCGAUUUUAUAAAUUUUAUUUCAAUACCAAAAAUAAAAAAAAUUUAUAAAUCUUAGAAAGGUGAGAUGUAAGAUUGAUACCUUACGUGUGAUCUACAAAUAGUAUUUUUGUAAUUGAAUGACUUCUUAUUCCACUCAUAAGAAUAAUGAUAAAUUAUUCAUUGACCAAUGAUAGAAAGACACACUAGACUCAUUUUACUAUUGGAAGAUGAAAUUAUUAAAUAUGAUUAUUAUUUUCUUACUAAUUAAAUACUAUUGCUUGAAUUUUCCAAAUAUAUAUAUUUUUUUAAUACAAAUUAGCGCAAAGAUUGAAGUAUGAGGACAAAGCUUGUAUAAUUACAUGGUGGCAUCUGGGAUGCAAACGGAUCCAGAGGACGGAAAGGGUUUUUUUUUACCUUCUGUCAUGUUUUCUUGACGGAUCAAGGUGAAUUCAGAACAGAUUAACUUUAUCUUAUUUUUAGCCUUCACUUAAUAUCCCUAGUUGACGUGGCCUGAAUAAGUAGUCAACAUCAAAUCAUGGAACCGACCGUCUCUAGAGCAAGUGGUAAAGGAUUUGAUGGUUGGUACUCAGAGACUCAAGUUCGAAUUCUAGUUGAUUCGCAUUUUUAGCUAAGUUUAUUUCUAAAUUAAAUAAACGAAGCGGAUAGCCUGCUAUCUAUCUCUUAAAAAAAAAUAAAAAAAAAUAUCAAAUCAUGGUGUGCGACAUUGGGUUCCCUGGCCAAUAUGAAAACACGUUAUGAAAACACGUUACAUUUGAGGAACACAAAUCCAACGUGACUUGAUCAAACGUGCCCUCCCCAUCAACCACUAACUAAAAGGGAAAAAAAAAAAGAAGAAAGAAAAGCUACGUAUUCUUUUCGCAUUAAUGCAACCGCCAGCAUUGGACUAGUUCAUGAUGGAUCAGAAAUUUAAUGAAGCGUUAUAAAAAAGAAUUAGUUUAAAAAAAUAUAUUUGUGGAAAUUAGAUUCUUAUAAAAUACAACAUUUUCAUGUUUGGUUAUCCAAUGAUCUUGCAUAAACUAAAUUAUAGCUGUUCUCGAUAUCAAAUUUAAUGUUUCAAGAGAGCUAGAGGAGGAACAAAUUUGUCAUAAACACAUCAAUAAAAUAUAAAACAAAAUUUCCUCUACAAAGAGAACUGUGUUAAUUACACAUUAAUUAAUUAAUGAAUAUGAUUUCAAAAGAAUACACUGGCCCACCCACACACGCCAUUCACAAUUUCAAAAGAAUUCAUGUUUAAAUACAAACAAAUAAUUAAAAAAAAAAUGCCACACAUGAUCAUUUGUUCUUAGUUAACUAAUCCGCAGAUCUUUCUAAUCUCGCCAGCCGCGCCUGCCAACGGACUAAUGUCCCCCAUCUUCACCAUCGCUGCUGCGAAGUCGGCGUAAAACGCGGCCCUGUUCGUGCUGUAACCCCUCACAAUGUCGUCGGUCGCGCCUCCGUUGAACAGAACCUGGUCUGAGUGCAGGAGCCCCUUCUGCUGCAGUAGAUUCUUGUAGUAGUUGUUGUCGAACGAAUUCGGCGUGACCAAAUCGAGCGGGGCGAGGUUGGUGUUGCCGCCCGCUGAAGGGCACCGCCUUCGCCGUGUGCUUGCGAACCCCGCGUCGAUGUCGGUCUCGUUGUAGAUGCGGUUACGGAACGUGACACAUUGUGCUUGGCCUAUAGUGUGGGCACCUGCAAUGGAUUUGAUUUUGUUAAUUAUUACUCAUUAAGUAAGUAGAGAUUGAUUAAUUUAGGGUGAUUAGUUAUAAGUUAAUUACCAGAGAGGGCAACCAUGUCUUUGACACUUAGGCCCUGUCGAGCAAAGGAGGAGACGAGGGCGUCGAGAUCAUCGAAAGCGGUCGGAAGGUCGGCCCGAGCCAAGUCUUUGUUGGCUGUCGUUGAGUCUCGUCUUCCUAGCUUAACCGUCCACGUCGGACCGCCCACCUGUUACAACAUUUAUGAAUUGAUGAUCAAGUUAAGUUGUGAUUAUAAGCUCGCGCAUUUUGAUUUUAUCGUCUGUUUAGCCUAACUUUUAAAAUAGCUUUACUGCUUACGAAGAUAUCUGUCAUAGAAAAACUUAAGAGCUUUGCCUUUGCGCUAGAUUAUAAAUAAAACUAACAUGAAUCUUUGAAUCUAAAGCAUGUAGAAUUUGAGAUUUUAAGCUUCUACUUUUAGCUUCUGUAGGAAGUUGCAGGUUAGAUUAUUUAACUUAAAAAUUUUAUAAAGUUUUUUUGAACAGCUCUGCUUAAAUACUACUUUUAUAGAAUUUUAUGUUGGAUUUAUUGAACAAGUACUAAUUUAGGAAUAAUGCAUGCUAGCUUGCACCUACAUAUUCAGAAGAAUCUCUUGCGACAACUGCGAGGAUGUCGGCACACGACAUGACCCCCGGGCACACCUUCUCAACUGCAGACUUCACGCCGUCGAUCACUUCGAAGCCCCUGGCUGACUUGAAAUUCUGGAGUGCGUUCUGCUCGCUCACGAUGUUUGGAGCAUCGACAAGCAAAAGCGACGCAUCACAUCCCUAAAACCACACAUGCGAAAUCGAUCACGAACAUUCGAAAUUUUUUUCUUCUAAAAUAGCACAUAUAUCUUUCGACGGCAAUAUUACAUACUUGGACGAAGCAAUCGUGGAAGUGGAGGCGGAUGAGCGAGGCCGCCAUGCGGCGCUCCUUGGUGAUCGCGGUGCGAACGGCAGCGCGGAUCGUCGAGAGAGCUUGUGGGCAUGUGUAGUCAUAGUAGUUUGGUGUAAGUUGUGCUUCACAAGUGAAAGUGGAGAGCAGCAGCAAUAGAACAGUAGCAGCAAAACUUGUAAUAAUAAUGUGGAAACCAGAGCCUUUAGAAGUAGUACUCAUUUCUAUGGGUUCUUAGUGUCUCCAAAUAUGUAUAUAAGAGAGAGAGAAAUAGAGAGAGAGGUGUUUGUAAAUGUGAGGAGUGUGAGAAGGUGUUGUAGUAGAGGAUGGAGUGGAGAAACAAACACAAAUGGCGAAUUUAUAGGGUUCUAAAAACAUUGAAUAACAAGGAAAUAAGAAACUUUCAACGAUAUAAGAUAAAGGUUUGCCAGGUCUUCUACCAACCAAAAGUUUAGGGAAAACUUCAAAAACCCCCCCUGUGGUUUCGUGCAUUCUCACUUUCCUACCCUGUGGUUUAAAACGUAUCAAUUUGCCCCCCUGUGGUUUCGUUUUUAUCUUUUUGUUAUCAAUUUUAUUAUUAUUUUUUUUAAAAUCAGUGACAAAGUUAAAAUUAAAGGAUACUAAAGUGACUAUUCGAUAAAUAUAGAUGGUUAUCUGAAGUUUUUUGUAUAUAAUUUAACGAAAUAUUAACGAAAAAGCUUCCGAAAAGAUAAAAACGAAACCACAGGGGGGCAAAUUGAUACGUUUUAAACCACAGGGUAGCAAAGUGAGAAUGCACGAAACCACAGGGGGGGUUUUGAAGUUUUCCCUAUUUUAUGAUUUGUCUCCGUCCUAUGAAAUUAUUGCUUGCGCGCCGUGUACGUGUAUCCUUACAUCUCAUGCACCGCAUUCAAUAUUUGCCGCUUGAUAUUUUGAAAUCAAAGUGUAAUUAGAGAAAGUUAAUCAAUCAUAUCUACAGGCCUAUCCUAUCGGAUAGUCGCAAAAAAAAUUAUCAGUAUAAAAUAUUUUUUUUUUUUGAGAGAGAUAGAUAGCACACUAUCCGUUUCGUUUAUUUCAUUUAGAAAUAAACUUAGCUGGAAAUGUUCGAACUUAGAACUUUGGGUACCAACCACCAAACCUUUUGCCACUUGCUCUAGGGACGGUCGGUUAUCAGUAUAAAAUGUUAAGAAGAACAAUUGCUAGUCCUAUAUAUUGAAUAGAAGAAAGAACUAUAUCUUUACUAUUUUGAUCGAUUGCUAGCAUUUGUUAAAUUAUAUGAAACGGUGUUUCUCUUAGAAUGGUAAAGCUGCUAUAAACGGUAUUUUUAAUAUUUAUACUAAAUGCUCCCUCCAUGUCUUUGCUCAAGGUAUUUUUAUAAAUUUAAGAUGUAGACUUAUAUUAAAGGGGCAAUUGUCUAUAUACUCCUGAAAAGUUUUCGAUUUUCUUAUUUACCCCUCUUAAAAGGCUAAUAUUGAAAAUACCCUUCUUAUGUUUCAAGUUUUUCUAAAAUAUCCCUGGAGUUAAGUUCCAUUAGUGAGCUGCCGUUAUCUCUGAAAAAUUACCAUUUUGCCCAUUCCAAUAUACCUUUGUACCGUAACAAACUUUUUUUAUAUAUCCUUCAUAUAGCAAAUACUUUUCUUAUUUGCCCUUCAGUCGGAUCCGGAGCAGAGGGCGUGCAGGGGUCCAAUGGCGCUGCGGCCCUCUUGCUCCUGGCGCCGGCCAAGGCAGCGGAGGAGGAGAAGGACGACGAGAGCGGCGACAGAUGGGAUCGUCGCUGCGGCCCUCUUGCUCCCGGUGCCGGCCAAGGCGGCGGAGGAGGUGGACGACGGCGACGAUGAGAGCAGCGGUGGAAGAAGACGACGAGAGCGGCGAGAGGGAUGGUGUUGGAGGUGAAGGUGUGGGAGGUGGUGGUGGUCUGGGAGGAGAUGAGGCGAGGUGGAGGCGGAGGAGCCGGCCGGUGGUGGCGACCAAGUUGGGAAAGAAAGAGAAGAUAAUCUUAGGGAUUAGUAUAAUAAGGUAGGGACAAAAUAGGUAUUUUAUUUAGAUUUUAACUUUAGUAUAGAUUUAACCCAUGUUUAACCCGAGUUAAGCUAACAGGGAAUAACUGCGGGGUAUUUUGGAAUAACGAUGGAACAUAUUAGGGGCAUUUUAGAAAGAAAAAAAAAGUAGGGGUAGAUUGAAUAUUUCCGAAUGCAUGAAGGGUAUAUAGGCAAUUAUCUCUAUAUUAAAUAGGAAAAACUUAUAAAUAGCCCCUCUUUUUUUUAAAAAAAAACUUAAUUUAUCAGAGAAAAAUAUUUUUAGUAUUUUAUAUUUGACAGAAUUAUAUCUAAUAAACUAAAUUCUAAUUUCAAAGUUCCGUGGUGUAUGAGAUGGAUAAGAAUACACAGGGAACAAGCAAUAAUUUCUCUCGUUGGUCUAACAGCGACGAAAAAUUCUAGAAUACAACGGGUAUAUUAGUGACGUGGCGUAACAAACCAAUCAAAUUAAUCCUUUUAAGAAUAUAUGUCCCAUCAUGAUUGUAAAAAAGUAUUUUUAUUGUACUUUUAUUUAAAAAGAAGGAAUGUGAUUGGCUUGUUAUUGAUGACGUGGUGCAAGUGUGACAGUGUAGAAUUCCUCAACAGCGACGGCCGCGUUUUGGCCCGUGUGAGGGUCACCAAUAACGAGCUCUACUAUUCAAAUAUGACGAUAGACACGUGGUAUUUGCGAUUAUGCAAUGUAAUAUCAUAUAAGGAAAAAUUAAAAUAUAUUCUUGUUCCAAACUGCAAGCCAGUUGAAUAAGAGCGGGCUAAUUUGUGUAUCAUUCUAACGUUGUUUUGAUCACAUAUAUGACGCAAAAUCAAUUACUGAUUGAUCAUAGUUAUAUACCACAUGAUCACUUCUAAAUUUUUUUUUUUUUUGAUUAAAUAGGGAUAUAUACCCUAUUUGAUAAAGGGAGUACAAAUUAAAACAGCGAAGCUGCUCAUUGAGCUAGCUUUAGGAAGUAUAUCUGAACCACUAAUAACAAGGGUAAAAACAAUUAAAACGAAGCACACAUAGGACCCCAAAAUGGAUUCCCAGCGCUUUACGACUGAAACAACAAUCGUUCCCAGUUCUUCGUACGUAGAGUGGUGAUUGCUGAAGAUCCGUGAAUUCCGCUCUUAAUUUCCAAAGUUCCCAAUAGGCUCCAACAAAGCAUAGGUCGAAAAGUGCUCUUGCUGCUCCCGACAAUGACUCUUUGCCGUGCGUCCAUCUGGUCGAGACGUCCCCAACUCGGUUGGCCAUUAAUUCAGCAGUGAGUGGGGUGUUAGAAAGGAGCAGAUUCCACAGGGACACUUCUAAAUUUUAGAAAAAAUUUCCUAUAAUGCGUAGAUUUGAGUUUUGAAAUACAACUAAACUAUAAAUAAACCUCAUUUUGUGAUGAAAUUGGGGGAAACCUUUCAACCUUAACUAUGUAACUUAUCUAAGAAAUCCUUAACUGCACUUAUGCUGAUACAAGCAUUUAUCAAUUUUAUAUGGUUAUCAUUUAUUAACUGAAUUUAAUCAGAUUUAUGUAGUUACAAGCGUUAGUGUGUUAUAAUUUAAAGAAUCUGAGAGGCUUGUAAGGGAAGAAGCUUUUUGGGCUGCAGUAUAUAUAAUUGAAGAGCAAUGCUAUCUAUCCAUUUAUAAAUUAGGUGUAAAUUUUACAUCCCAUGCACUAAUUGAAAGGUUUUAUUUUUAAUACAAAAAAUAUAAAAAUCAUAAAUCUUAGAAUAGAUGAGGUGUAAGAUUUAAAUCUGCAUAUAGAUGUAUAGAUAGUGUUUUCUGUAACUGAAUGGUUUCUUAUUCUACUCAGAAUAAUUAUAAAUUAAUCAUUGACCAAUGAUAGAACAUACGAGGCUCAUUUUACUACUGGUAAAUGAAUUUGUUAAAUAUAAAAAUAUUUAAACACCGUUCUCUACCAGUUUAAGUUUUUAAAGAAUAACGGUUAUUUCGUAUUAUUUAAUAGAAUUAUUAAAUAUGAUUAUUAUUUUCUUACUAAUUAAAUACUAUUGAUUGAAUUUUUCAAAAUAUAUAUAUAUAUAUUCUGAACACAAAUUGUCACAAAAAAUGAAGUGCUAGGACAAAGCUUAUAAAAUCGCAUGGCAGUGCUAGGGAUGGAAACAGGACGAAUCAUCUGAAUCUGAGGGUGGAAAAGGUUCUCCUCUUUGGAUGAAUUCGCGACGGAUUGUUUUUUAUUUUUUUUAUCUUUAUUUAUAACUUCAUUCGGAAUCGAUAAGAACCAACGAAUCUUUGGUAAAUUUUUAGCAGAUCGAAAUGAAUCCCGAGAAGAAAGAGUCUCCUAUCUUCUGCUUUAUUUUUUAUGUUCUAUUUUUUGACAGAAUAGGAUGGAUUUUGAACGAGUUAUUCUUUAUUUUUUUGGCGACGAAGCCUGACUAAAUAAGCACUCCACCAUUCCGAAUGCAUUUGCAUCCUUAGUUGACAUGGCUAAAAAAGUACUAGUCAACAUCAAAACAUGGGGCGCGACGUUGGGUUCUCUGGCCAACGUAAAAACAUGUUUUACAUUUGAGCAACUCAAAUUCAACGUGACUUGAUCAACCAUCUCUCUCUCUCUCUCCAAGCAAACAUGCCCUCUCCAUGAACCACUAAUUAAAAUAAAAAAAAUGCUGCGUAUUAUUUUCGAACCCACAUUGGACUAGUUCAUGAUGGAUCAGGAAUUUAAUGAAGCGUUACAAAAAAGAAUUUAAUUAAAGAAAAUUUAUUUGUAGAAAUUAGAUUCUUAUAAUAUAUAAUAUUUUCAUGUUUGGUUUAUCCAAUAAUCUUAUAUAAAUAAUAGUUGUCGCGCGAGAGAGAGGAGGAACAAAUUAAUGUAAAAUAUAAAACAAAGUUUCCUCUACAAAGAGAAGAGUACAAUUACAUAAAAUGAACAUGGCCAAACCCAAUUUUAUUGGGCAGUGGCUUAUUAAUUAUCAUUUUUAUUAAUUACUGAAUAUCAUUUCGAAAGAAUUCACCCGCCCACCCACACAUUUCUUUUUUUAAAAAAAAAACGAAAAUGUCACACAUGAUCAUUUGUUCUUAGUUAACUAAUCUGCAGACCUUUCGAAUCUCCCCCGCCGCACCCGUCAACGGACAAAUGUCCCCCAUCUUCACCAUCGCCGCCGCGAAGUCGGCGUAAAACGCGGCCUGGUUCGCGCUGUAAACCCUCACAAUGUCGUCGGUCGCGCCUCCGUUAAACAGAACCUGGUCCGAGUGCAGGAGCCCCUUCUCCUGCAGCAGAUUCUUGUAGUAGUUGUUGUCGAACGAAUACGGUGUGACCAAAUCGAGCGGGGCGAGGUUGCAGUCGCCGCCCGCGGAAGGGCACCGCCAACGCCGUGUGCUCGCGAACCCCGCGUCGAUGUCGGUGUCAUUGUAGAUGUGGUCACGGAACGAGACACAUCGGGCUAGGCCGAUAGUGUGGGCACCUGCAAUGGAUUUGAUUUUGUUAAUUAUUAAUCAAUAAUUAAGUAGAGAUUGAUUAAGUUUAGGGAACUUAGUAAUUAGUUAAGUACCUGAGAGAGCAACCAUGUCUUUGACACUAAGGCCCUGUCGAGCGAAGAUAGAGACGAGUGCGUCGAGGUCGUUGGUAGCGUUCGGGAGGUUGGCCCGAGCCAAGUCUUUGUUGGCCGUCGUCGAGUCUCGUCUUCCUAGCUUAACCGUCCAUGUCGGACCGCCAACCUGUUACAACAUUUAUGUAUCAAUCAUCAAGUUUAAGUCGUGAUUAUAAGCUCGCGCAUUUUGAUUUUAUCGUCUGUUUGGCCUAACUUCUAAAAUAACUUUAUCAUCUCUUUUUAAAUAGUACUUCAUAGAAUCUUCAGUCGGGUGAUUGAACAAGUACUCGUGAAAAAUACAUGCUAGCUAGCUAGCACUUACAUAUUCAGAAGAGUCUCGUGCGACGACUGCGAGGAUGUCUGCGCACGACACGACCCCCGGGCACACCUCCUCGACCGCAGACUUCACGCUGUCGAUCACUUCGAAGCCCCUCAGCGACUUGAAACUCUGGAACGCAUUCUUCUCGCUCACGAUGUUCGGAGCAUCGUCGAGCAGAAGCGACGCAUCGCAUCCCUAAAACCACACAUGCAUCAUUUCAAACUCAUUAGAAAUCGACCACAAUUUUUCCUUCUAAAAUAGUGUAUAUAUAUUUCGACGCGCGGCUGUAAUACUACUUACUUGGACGAAGCAGUCGUGGAAGUGGAGGCGGAUGAGCGAGGCCGCCAUGCGGCGCUCCUUGGCGAUCGCGGCGCGAACGGCGGCGCGGAUCGUCGAGAGAGCUUGUGGGCAUGCGUAGUCAUAGUAGUUUGGUGUAAGUUGUGCUUCACAAGAGAAAGUGGAGAGCAGCAGCAAUAGAACAGUGGCAGCAAAACAUGUGGUAAUGUGGAAACUACAACCCUUAGAACUCAUUUUUUUAGGGUUCUUUGAGUCUCCAAAUAUGUGUAUAAGAGAGAGAGAAAUAGAGAGAGAGAGAGAGAGAGGUGUUUGUAAAUGUGAGGAUCAGUACUGUGAGAAGGUGUUGCAGUAGAGGAUUGAGUGGAGAAGGAAACACAAAUAGCAAAUUUAUAGAGUGCACAAAAUGUUCAACAAGAAACUUUCAAUAGGACAAAUUAAUUAAGGUUUGUCCCGGUCUCUACCAAACAAAAAUUUAUUUAUUUGUCUCAGUCCUGAGAAAUUAUUGGUCGCACGCGGUUUAUCUUUACGUCUCAUGCGCCACUUUCAAAUAUUUACUACGUGAUAUUUUAAAAUCAAAUUUUAAUUCGAGAAAUGUGAUUGAUCAUCAUAUAUAUCUACUGACCUAUCAGAUAGUCGCAAAAAAUUGAUAGCAUAUAGAAUUUUUUUUUUUUUUUUUUUUUUUGAGAGAUAGAUUACACGCUACUCGCUUUGUUUAUUUCAUUUAAAAAUAAAUUUAGCUAGAAAUGUGGAUCAACUAGGAAUCUAGGAUUUGAUUGCAUAAGAACUAUAUAUCUAUAGUUGUACGUUUUGAUUGUAUAAGAACUAUUUCUAAUAAAUUAAACUAAAUUUGAGAUCUCUGAAAUAGAAUUUUAAAUGUGUAGAUGUACAAAUGCACGGAGAGCAACCAAUAAUUUCUCUUGCUGGUCUGAUAGCGAUAUGAAUUUUAAAAAUCAGGUUGAACAGCAACUCGAAAAUAUUACUGGGUUAUUGGUUCAACCACACUGAUGGAACCAAUAACAUCAAAAUAUUUAUUUUUUUUUUAAUUUUAUUAUAUAUAUAGAAUUAGACUACUAUACUAUUUAUAGUACCGGAGCUCCGAUACUAUAGUGUUGUUUUCGAUCUUAGGGUGCUCAAAUUAACAAUUCAUACCGUUAAAUAUGAUCUAGGGUAUAUCAAGUUCUUAGAAAUAAAAUUUUAGUUUUUUUUCGAUAUUGUUUAUUUAGUAAAUAAAUUAUGUCAAAAUGGACGGUGGAAAUUGAAUAAUCUUUAAAAUUUGAGUAUAGGAUUUUAAAAUUCAAGAUCAAGAAUAUUAACCUUAAUCUAGAUAAUUUAAAAUAUUUUUUUAUCAAAAUUUGAAGAAAUCUAGAUUCUUCUACACCGUUAAACUCCAAACUCGCCAUAAUAGCCAUUAAAAAUUGACAAUUUUGAAAUGGUUUGAUCAUAAAGUAAACUAUAUCGAAAAAAUAUAAAAUUUUAUUUCUAAAAACUUUAAAUACCUUAGAUCAGUUUUAACGGUGUGGAUCGUUGAUUUAAACACCCUAAAAUCGAAAACGAAACUAUAGUACCAAAGCCCCGGUACUAUAUAUAGUAUAGGAGACUAGCUAUAUAUAUAUAUAUAUAUAUAUAUAUAUAUAUAUUAUUGUUCUAAUAUCAAACUAAAUACAAAAUACAAAUUUUCAGACUAAAUUAAGUAAAUGUAAGUUUUCAAGUUUCACUUUUCAUAAUAGAAAAUAAAAUCAUCAAAACCAGUCAUAAGUAAAACUAAUAAGAAAAAAAAGAUAAAAAUCAAAAAAAAAUUAAGCCAAUAUAUUCAGAAGUGGACCGAUUCACUGGUUAAAAGAGAAAGAACUGUUUAAAACUUUGAAACUUCGAAUGACGAAUUGUAAUUCAAUAGAAGUUCAGAUAAUUUGAAAUUUUCUUUUUUUAAAAAAAUUAGAAGUGUUAGUUGGGAGCAAGAACAUUUCUUUUUCAAAUUUUAGAUUUUCAGUAAAGAUUAGUUCCAGUCUUUUUUUUGACGAGGCUCUUCAUUUUGAAUCACACAGCAGCUAAUUGUUCAAAUAGAGUCAUGCACGUGCUGUAAUGGCGUGUGGGAAGUGGUCUUUUAUGUGACAGUUGCAUUAUAUUACUAUAUUUCAAGCCAAUCAACUUUUUUUUUUAAAAAAAAAGUUAUUAAUAUAAAUUAUUUUUUAAAAAUUAUGAUGGAAUGGAUAAACAUCAGGGCAGAAUUUGAUUCAUUCGGGAUAUAGAUGAUGUUGUGCUUCUGAUAUAUAUCAUGUGGAUAUAUUUUAUGUCAGCCGAAGGAAGAGAGAGAUUGAGAAUUAUUUAUUUCAUUUUGUUACUUGAAAGGAAAAGGAUAAUUUAUAUUGGAUAUAAAAAGAAAGAGAACUACGUAAGAAGGCCAGAAAAUUAUACUCCGAGUAUGUUUGUUCUACCAAAAGUGAAGAGGGGUGAACCAACCUUUUACCGUAAAUACAAAUUUUUGUUGUUGGAUUUAUCGUAACUUCACUUUCGAUCUCUUCAAUUUUUAUCAUGUUAACUUUUUACUGAAUUAACAAAUGAAAUUGGAGGGACUGCAGUUCUACAAGUACACAAAGAAACAAUGAAAUGGCUGUGAAUCUAUCAAUUCCUUAUCCUUCCAUGUUUACCUGACCUUCACUUGUACUGUUGUAGAGUCCCCAGAUUUACCUGACCUUCACUUGUACAAAUUCCGCAUUUCUGCUGCUCAUUUCUUUUAAAUUAUUGUAACAAAAUAAGAUAAGCUUAUUAAGUUAGAGAAUUCAAGCCCAUAAUUACCUACCAGAUCUUCUCUUUAUUUCACAUGGCAAUAUUAAUUAAUAUAUUUUUAUUUUUAAUAAAAUUCUUUUAAUCCAAAUCACUCUGAGGUGUUACGACUAACUAAUCAGACCUAAUCCGACCCAUUCUUAACCCAAACCUGGCUUUCCCGUUUACUAAAAGAACCGAAUAUGAGCCACAACUUGAGCUUGAUUUGUUAAACUAGCCGAGUACAAAGCGGCAUAACUCGCUCAAGCUUGGCUUAGAAAUAUCCUGACAUUCCUAUGAAUAUUUUGAAGUGUUAGUGCCUUGUAUGUUUUCUUUGUUUUCUUAAACCUUAGUCAAGCUAUAUGCCACCUGUAAUAAUUAAGACUUGAGCCAACAAUUCGAGGUCGAGCUUAGACUACGAAAACUUUCAGCUACAAUUUGGUAAAGAGCCGAGCUCGAGCUUGGCUCUUUACCAAAUUUCCCACUCGAGCAAGGCUCAAUUACACUUUCGUACAUAUAAUAAUAAUAAUUGGCUAUUUUCAAGAUGUCACUACUUUCGGCAUCUAUUUUUUUACUCAACAAACGACUGCCUACCGCAGCGCAUGAGUACAGUGUAACAAGGCUUUGGAAGAAAUAUUGCAGUAGGAUUGAUAGCCGCACUUACUAAACUUUCAGCUACAUGAUGGCAAUCUAGCUAGAAAAAAUUAGUAUUAUCUUUAAAAGACGAGACUCAAGCGCAGCUCAAGUUUUUCAUCGUAUACAUUCAUUUACACUGGAUUAUUUUAACCUUUCUUCAUCUAUGUUGUCAAGUUCCUACUAUUUUAUGAAUGAAUAAUAGUUUGCUAUUUUAUUCUAAAAAAAUAAUUAGGCAAAUACAUGUCCAAAUUAACAUGGAAAACUCUCUCUCUCUCUAUAUAUAUAUAAUAGAUCUUGUGUGUUAUUAGGAGAACGAAAGCCUCCGUGUUCCUGAGCCGUUUUCGAUAACGAAGCUUUCAAAUCGACAACCGAUUCCGUUAGACGAUCUACUGUAUUUGAAGUGUCUAGAAAAUAAAUUUUACGAAUUUUCGAUCAUUUAUCUAGCUAUCAAAAGGGUUCAAAAUAAACGGCUGAAAAUAAAAAUUUUACAAAAAAUAAUAAUAUAACACUAAAAUUUUCGAUUAGAAAUAUUAAUUUUGAACCCUUUCGAUCGCUAGGUAAAUGAUAUCGAAAAUUCGCAAACUUUAUUUUUUGAAUACUUCAAAUACAAUAGAUCAAAUCUAACGAAGCCGAUCGUUGAUUCGGAAACUCCAUUAUUGAAAACAGCUUAGGAGCACGGAAGACUCCAUGCUUCUAAUAGCACAUAAGGCCUUAGGAGCACGGAGGACUCCGUUCUCCUAAUAGUAUAUAAGGCCUCUAUAUAUAUAUUAUAUAGGAAAGAAAGAGGGCUCAUACAUAUCCCAAAGAGAAACUUUUAUUGAGUGCCAAGCUAAAGCCACAGAGAGAAUUAUCAACCUCAAUGCAACAGAAAAAACAACCACUCGAAUUAAAUUACAUCCGGGAUAUCUGAAGGGGAACCAUAACUUCAGUACUCAUCUCCUCCCUCAGAACAAUCUGGAAGAGAUCAGAGAUACCGUGGAGCAGCGAGAGCCGCCUUCGGCAGUCCUCCGCAGCCGCGAUACCCGAUGAGUAGGCCCCGUGAACAGACCCAGAAUGAUCGACACUGGCGGCCUCCCCGGCAAAGUACAAGUUGUCCACAGGGGCGCAAAACCUUUCAUAUAAGUCGGCUGGCUUUCCUACUAAGUCGCACGAAUAGGACCCAAGCGAGUCUGGGUCCGUCCCCCAGCGCGAGAAUAAGUAUUGAAUCUGCAAUAAAUCAUCAACAUUUUCAAUUUUAUUAAGGAGAACAGCUUCGCAGUAAAAAAUUUGGUAGAAACUUAGCCCCGAAGGUUCAACCCUGAUUUUCAAGCACUUGUCAGAGUUGAUUAAAUAAUUUAUCAUCCGAAGUUUGUCUGCAUAACAAUUAAGUCCAUGUCAGCAUCAUCUGCUGCCAACGUGAAUCUUAACAAUGUCACUGAACUUCUAUAAAUUAUGUAAAGUGGAAUCUUCUCCAAGAUGAUAGACAGGCGGGGCUUAAUUGUUACGCAUGGCGAAUAAUAAGAUCUAGAUUAAUAAUU
This 62358-nucleotide long non-coding RNA is filed under the name Ananas comosus (pineapple). RNAcentral's name for it is "long non-coding RNA (ACOM_LNC033885)". Lineage: Eukaryota; Viridiplantae; Streptophyta; Magnoliopsida; Poales; Bromeliaceae. The record is from RNAcentral.